CUACAGUCCGACUACGGUGCUCUUAAAAGCGUCAAGCAUUUAGUAUUUAUAAAUUUUUCACCGUUAAAUUUUACUUCUUUAAUUACGUUAUUCCACUUACCAUUCACUCAGGAUCAUUAUCAUCCUAACCGUAUAUUUCUUAAUUUAAAGACCGAAAUCCUUAAUUAUGUUAUUCCACUAACCAUUCACUCAACUCUAGAGGAUCAUUAUCAUCCUAACCGUAUAUUUCUUAAUCUAAGGACCGAAAACCUACAAGUAUUGUUACUUUUAAAAAUAUAGGAGCUCAAUUCGUGCGGACUAUACUGUUGGCUAUUUAUUAUUAGUUAAAAAUAAGUCCAACUUUCUAUUCCGUAAUAAUACAUCAAGAAAACUAGUAAAUUGAGUGGGACUGUGGUCUACAAUUAAUCUAACAAUAAUAGAGCUAAAAAUAAACCUAACGUUCAGAUGAAUUGAGUGGAGUCAAAGUUCGAAAGUGCUGUGGUGAAGUUAUUAAACGUGAUGGAUUCGUUGUUUCUGUCGAUAUGUAUUUUUAGAAUAGUUGGUUAGCAUUUAUUAUCCACAUAUACGAAUUUUAAAUCUAAUUUUUUAAUUUAUUUCAUUUAAAUUAUUUGAUGACUCACAGGAUAUAAAAUUUAAGUUACUUAUUAUCUACUUUAAUGAAUUUGCGGUUAUAAAUAUACCAACUAAACUCGUGAAGAUAAAGGGUGCAUACAAAUUUGAAGUUAAAAAAUUACUAAUUAGCUCAAAUCAAGUAAAUUAAAAAUUAGAUAAUAAAAUUAAAUUUUUUAAAAAACUAGAUAGCUCAAUCAAAAUAGAUUAUAGUUUUUUUUUUUUUUUUUUUGAGAAAGAUAAGUAGCACGCUACCCGCUUCAUUUAUUUCAUUUCGAAAUAAAUUUAGCUGGAAAUGUGAAUCAACUAGGAUUCGAACUUGGGUGUCGGAUACCAACCACCAAGUCUUUUGUCACUUACUCUAAAGACAGUCGGUAAAAUAGAUUAUAGUUAAGAUGUGUUUUCCACAUUUUUACCCUUUUUUUACUCCUCCCCUAAGUCAACACCCAUAGCAGAGACUUUGAUACAUUCAUCAGGAUUCUACUGGACUUUUUGUUUUUUUUCUUUUUAUGAAUGCCCUUAUCCUAAAAAUUUUUCUUGAACUAGUCACAAAUUUUAUUUUAAUUUUUUAAAAGGGUGCUAAGUUACCCCCAACCUUAUUGUAUUACCAAUCAAUUGCAUUAGACAAUAGCAUAAUGUAUCAUUUAACAUCCUGGUUUGAUAUAAUAUCAGUGCUACAUCAUAGUAAUAUUUUUUUUAAAAAAAAAAAUUAUUAUAGUUGUUGUUAUUUAUUAGUCAUCUUGGUUGAAAUAUAUAUUUAUUGCUACAUACAUGGUCCAAGCAACUUAAUAUAACCAGGCGAUAACUACUAUAGUUGUCUUUUACUUCUUUCAUGUUUUUUUUUAAUUUCUUUUCAAGUUCAUCUCUUAAUUUCUAGUCUUUUUUUAGACACCAUUAUGCACUUUAAUUAACAGAAAUGUAGCUAUAUAUGCUUUAAUAUUCAAAAGCUUUUUGACCUUUUAGCAGGAUGAUUAAGACUAGAUAUUAGACUAAUGAAUAAUAAAGGUUUGAAAUUAACAUAUAGGCAAUACAUUUAGAAACACCAUGCCAAAGAUUUUAAAAAAUAAUCCUUUAUAGCCUACUAACCCAUUAAAAAAAAGAAAAAGAAAAAAGAGAGAGAGAGAGAGAAUUUGACACGGUCGACCGAUCGACGAUUUGGAUGUCCGAAGACUUCUGAACUCAGUGCAUGGUAUAUGUCUCAAUAAAAAAUAAAAAAACUUUAAAAACUCUCCCUGUGGUUUCGCACUUUUUCAUUUUAGUAUCCUAUGAUUUAAAGUGUAUCAAGUUAGUACCAUAUGAUUUCGCACUUUCUCACUUUAGUACCCUGUGGUUUAAAAUGUAUCAAGUUAGUACUCUGUGAUUUUAUUUUUGUAUCAAAUUAGUACCAUGUGAUUUUAUUUUUGUAUCAAGUUAGUACCCUGUGGUUUUAUUUUUCUCUUAAUGAAAUAUUAAACCACUGAGUACUAAAGUGAAAAAGUGCGAAACCACAGCGUACUAACUUGAUACACUUUAAACCACAGAUACUAAAGUGAGAAAAUGCGAAACCACAGGGUACUAGCUUGAUACACUUUAAACCACAGGGUACUAAAGUGAGAAAAUGCGAAACCACAGGGUACUAAAUUGAUACACUUUAAACCACAGGGUACUAAAGUGAGAAAGAGUGAAACCACAAGUGGCGUGUUUGAAGUUUUUCCAUAAAAAAAUUUCAGUAUAUACUAAUACACAUAUUGACAUAUAUGCAUUAAUUAAGUAAUUGCAUUGACCCAAUUUCUAAGCUCUCAGUAAAGUACCAUGUAGUUUCCACAAGUAAACACCUACUUCUAUAACACUUGGCCAGUUGGGAACUGGAUGAACCGUCUAUCAUGCGCUAUCAAUACAGAUGCGCAUAUAGAGCUAGAAAUCUACUCUCUGGCCAAUUCAAGGACCAUUUCGACCUCCUCUUCACGGCUUCAUGCUGGGAAUUAUGGAAUGAACGAAAAAAGAGACUAUUCGAAGAUCAACUCAAGCAGCCUACCUUCCGGAGCCAAAACAUUCUCUGCACGGUGCGAUCAUGGAAAGCCGCACUCGGGGACAUGGACAGCAUCUAGGAGUGUGCGCUUUUUGGGGUUUUUUGGGGCUUUGAUUUUGGUUUUUGGUUUUUGGUUUUUUUUGGUUUCUGGGUUCCUGCUCCUAGAUCUUGAUUGCGAUCAACCCAUGCUGUUCUUGCCGUUCUGUUUUUUCGCCUUACUAGACUGCUCAUAUACUCUCUGUUCUGACUUUGUUAAAAUAGGGUAUACCCCUGUUUAAUCAAAAAAAAAAAAAUACAGAUGCGCAAAAAUAGAUAAUGUUGGGAAAUACGAAUGAAGAUCAAGUAAAUUAUGAUCUUGAGGCGCAUAAGUUCACUUUCUUUAAGAUGAAAUUUGUCCUCACUCGAAUGUAUACUGCCGAGUUACCAGCAAAUCGCCUCCAAAAUACAAUAAGACCACCGAAAGAUUGCAAAUAGCACAUUUGAAGACUUUUCUUUAAGAACUUUUAUUUUAAGAAUCAAUAUGAAAAAUUAGGAAGGAGAAAUGAUUGAUUAUGUUACCCUUGAAGCCUUCAAACAUUUCUUAUUUAUAGGAGGUGAAUGAUUACGCUGAAAGGACACAACUGUUAAAAUUAUAUUCUUUCAUAAAAGGACACGUUAUUUCACAAAUAACGAAAAGAUAUAUUCUUUCACAAAAGAUUUAUCUCUCUGUGAAGAAACAUAUUUCUUCGUAAAAAGAUAUAUCUUUACAUCAAAUGAAAAGACAAAUCUUUUUAUAAGAAUAACCACUUUAUGAAGAGAUACAAUUAUUUCUAUAGCACAUACCCUCUAAUACAUUAGAUUAAAAUUUUGAGAUUAAAGUAAAUCCACAAUUUGAAAACCGAGAGUGUUAUACAUACGUCUAGCCUUGAGUAUGUACAAUUUUGGAGAAAAUAUUACUUGUACAAAGGCGGAUACUUACAAUCUGUAUGUACACCUUAUCGUAGGUGGUACAUCUCACACUUCAUUAUCUCAUUAGAGUUUAAUUCUUUAAAAAAAAUAUAUUUAGUAUUAAAAGAAAUAGUUAUAAGACAGAUGAAUAAAUAUGGGCUACUGACCAGUAGCAAUUAAAUUGGUAGAUUGGUUACAUUAAAUAUUGAUUUAACUUGUGCAACAGGCCUAUUCUUUUCUUUUCUAAUGCUAUAAAAUCGUGUCCUACGCCAUUUCUUAGAGGGUGUUUAGCCUAACUUUUAAAAAACGCUUUUGGGUUGAAAAGUGAUUUUCGGCUCAAUAGAGCGUUUGACAAACUCACUUUUAAAAUCUGAUUCUGCUUUUUAGAAUCAGAAAACUAAUUUUGAAGGCCCCAGAAUCAGAAAACUAAAAUUUUAAAAUUUUAAAAUUUUAAUUUUAAUUCUAAUUUAAAUUUAGAUUUUAAAUUAUUUUAAAAUAAAAUUUAAUAAAAAUAUUAAUUUACGCAAACAUCAAAAAAAUUUUACCAAAUAACUUUUCAAAAUCACUUUUAUCUAAACUCAGCCCAACGCUCUACAGUUUUUAACCAAAAUCACUUCUCCCAACCAAAAUCACUUUUUCAGAAAUCACAUUUUCAGAAGAUAGGCCAAACGGGCCCUUAAUCUUGUUCUGACAGUGUCGAAACUUAAAUAUUUAUUUUUUUAUUUUUAUUUUUAUUUUUUUAUUUUUAUUUUAUUUCAUUUUUUGAUUUUUUUUUUGUUAAUAUGGUUCAGAGGUAGGGGUGGAAACGAGCCGAGAUCGAGCGAGCUAACCUCAUCUCAAGCUUGGCUUGAAAUUAAUUUCGAGCCUAAAUUUAGGCUCAAGCUCGGCUUGAAAUUAAUUCGAGCCGAGCUUGAGCAAACCUAAUUAACUUCGAGUCGAGCGAGCUCGAGCCCUAAACGAGCCGCUUGAAAUUCUUAACAUUGUACAAUCUAUUGUUUAAUUUUUAAAAAACAUUAUCUAAAAUUUGAUACAAAAAAUAUCUAAUAGUUCAACAUAUAAAAUGAAUGCAUGAAAUACGAUAUUAUAAUAUUAAAAAAAUUACGGAAAGCGACUAUGUGAGCAAGCGAAAAAAAAGAGAGCAAUUAGAGUAGAAUUUUGCUAGUUUGGUUUUGUGGGCCCAAUAAUCUAAAUUCUACAUACAUAUAUAAACUACAUAACAUAUAUUAUUUUACAUAAUUAAAAUAUAUUUUAUAUAUAAUUAUAUAAUAUAUAGAGUUCCGCUAUUAUACUCUUUUGAGUAUAGACCCUUUUAUACUCAUAAAUUUUCAACCGUUAAAUCCAUCAUUUAUUCUUUUAUUAAAUCAUACUAUUCAACCAACCACCUAUUAAAUCUUAGGGAACACUAUCAUUCUAAUCGUACAUCCAACGAUUAAAAAUUUAAAAGGAUAAAAGGGUCUAUACUAAUGAGAGUAUAGUAGCCCUAACAUAUAUAUAUAUAUAUAUAUAUAUAUAUAUAUAUANCAAAUUUUACUACGGAUAUAUCCCAGCAUGGUUUACUUCCCAUAGAAUUUGAAAAAAAUAUUUCGGAGUUUAAGUGAUGAAAGUCGUGUAUGGGCUAACAAUUGCCCACCCUAAAAUGUGUAGUUUUUAUAAGGAGAUAUAUAUAUAUAUAGUCCGACUGGGAUACUAUCAAUAGCACGAGGCAUUUGGUGGUAUUAAAUUUUUUGCCGUUAGAUUUAUCCCUUUUAUCAUUUUUAACCGUUCGAUUAUACUAUCAACUAACCACCCCACUCAACCCUAUGAGGUACACAUCAUCUUAACCACAUAUCUUUUAAUUCGAAAGUAGAAAACUUAAUAGCACCAAGUCAUUGGUGCUAUUAAUAGUAUUCUAGCCUAGCGCUCUCUCUCUCUCUCUCUCUCUCUCUCUCUCUCUCUAUAUAUAUAUACCAUAUUAUAUAUAUAUAAAAUUAGUUUACUAUACUAUUAGGGCUCGUUUGGUUCGAAGUCGGAAUCGAAAUCGGAAUCAAAAUAAGCUGGAAUCGAAAUCGGAAUCGGAAUGACUCAUUACCUAAUUCUGUUUGGUUCAUCACCUGAAUCGGAAUCGGAAUAAAUCAUUCCCAUUGUCGGUGUUUAAUUCAGAUAAAUAUAAAAAACGUAAUCAAAUUAAUAUAUUAAUUUUAUCUUUAUAAUAUAUUAAUUUAAAUUCAAAUUAAAAAUUAAAUAUUAAAAAUUUACAUAAAACUUUUAAAUCUAUUUUUUUAAAAAAAUUAAACUUUGAAGUUGAGUGGAUAAUUCAAAAUAUAAAACUAAAUUUCGAUUUAUUCAAAUUCAAAUUUAAAAUUAUAAUUUAAAUUUUAAUUUGAAUCCAUAAAUUUAAUUUAACUUUUAAAUAAAAUUUGAAUAAAACUUUAUAUAAAUUUAAAUUUAAUUUAAAUUCAAAUUCAUAAGUUAUAUUCGAAAUACUUGAUUAAAUUUUAAUUUUUAAUUCAAGUUCUAAUUAAAUUUUAAAAUUUAAAAUUUAAAAUUUAAUUUCUAAAUUUAAACUCAUAUUUUAAUUAAAAAAUUUGAAAAAAUAAAUUUAAUCCAAAUAAAUAUAAAUUCUAUCCGGAUUCAACUUCCAAUCCGGCCUCUUAGGCCGGAUUGGAAAAAGAGGUGAUUGGGGGAUUUUCAUUCCACUCGGGAAUCGAAAUCGGAAUGGGACUCCCGCGUACCAAAUAUCCACAAACGGAUUCACCCAUUCGGAUUCUUAUUCCAGGGUAAAAGAGAAGUGAACCAAACACGCUCUUAAAAUACCAACCACUUGCUAUUAGGUUUUCGGCUCUUAGGUGAAGGGAUGUGUGGUUAGAAUGACAGUGAUCUCUUAGGAUUGAGUGUUUGGUUAGUUUAAUAGUUUGAUCUAAUGGAUGGAAAUGGUUAAAGGGAUAGAUCUAAACGCAUAAAAUUUGAUAGCACAAAGCAUUUGGUAUUAUUGAUAGUAUAGUAGCCGGACUUUUUCUAUACUAUCUAUACUAUCGAUAGUAUCAAACGCUUUGUGCUAUCGAGUCUCUUAGGGUUGAGUAGUUCUCACUAGGUUAUAAUAUUUAAUCCAAUAGUUAAAAAUGAUGAAAAAAUUGAUCCAAUAGCUAAAAACUUGAUAGCAAAAAAGAUCUUGUGCUAUCAAUAGUAUUCUAGUCCAACUCUCUCUCUCUCUCUCUCUCUCUCUCUCUAUAUAUAUAUAUAGCUUUUCGAGCCUAAUUCGAGCGAGCCCAGUAAUACUCAAGCUCGGCUUGAAAUUAAUUCGCGCUGAGCUCGAGCGAGCUGAAUAUCGAGCCGAACGCGAGUGGAACACGAGCCGGCUCGCUCAGUUGCCUGCCCUAUUCGGAGGUCCCUCUACCUCACCUUCGUAUUUUAAUUCAUUUUUUGAGAGAUAGGUAGCACGCUACCCGCUUCGUUUAUUUCAUUUAGAAAUAAACUUAGCUGGAAAUGUGAAUCAACUAGGAUUCGAACUUGGGACCUCGAAUAUCAACGACCAAGCCCUUCGCCACUUGUUCUAGUAACAGUUGGUUUUAUAGGCUAUUGUUAAGCUUGUGGUUGGUUAUAUAUUCUUAGACUGAAACAAACUUUGUGUCUCCUAGCAUAGCAGAUGCAAUUUUUAUUAGGAAUGGACCAUGUCAUGACUACACUUCUAAGUCUUUAGACUAUAUUAUAUGAACAAUCCCUUGUACUUAGCUUAAACAUAAUUUUUGAUAAUUCGAUAAUAUUUGGUAAGUCUUUUUUUUUUUUUUUUUUUUUUUUUUUCAUAGUUCCUUUAUUGCGCAUAAUCCGAUAAUGUUUGGUUUCAAUAACUCAAUAAAAUUUUUAAACAGUUAGUUGAAUGUAAGCUGCAAUUUCAAAAAGUUUGUUUUAAAAUUAAGCAUGCAUACUGUGCUGCAAAUCGAGCUUCAUUGGAAAGAGGUAAUAACAAGUGCAGUUUCAAAAUCAUGCAUUCUAAACAAAGGACAUUGAUAACAAGACACAAAUUAUUGUCACAACAUUAACAUACCUUGAAACACAGAGCACACUUGUCAAACAACACACUUGUUACCUGCUAUUUAAUCAAUCCAUCAUUUUUCUCUCAGUAGCAGCAUACUUUCAACUGAUCACGCAUUGCAUAACAGAGCUCAGAAAAAAGCACAUGAUACAAAGGACUACAUUGUAAUCGCAGAUUGCGACGGCGAAGGAUCGGGAGGCGUAGGUACUUCGACAGCUCCUUCUAGCAUCUGCACGACUUCUCGCAUCGAGGGCCUUAGCGACGGAUCUUCUUGGAUCCACCAAAUGGCCACCGUCGCGAACCUUUCCGCUCUGCUCAUGUCCGCCGUAGCCUCGCCGUCGUUUUCUACUAGCAGGCUCAACAUGUCCUCCGCAAAGCAGUCGUAAGCCCAGUACGCGAGCACCGCCUCGUCCUCGUCCCUCUCUAGUUCGAUGUUUCUUCUGCAGCAAAUGAUCUCCAGCAACACGACUCCGAAGCUGUACACGUCCACCUUCGCCGUGACCACCCUGUUUCUGAACCACUCCGGCGCGACGUACCCUCUGGUCCCCCUGAUGCCGGUGUCUGUUCGAGUUUGACCGUCCAUCAGAAGCUUCGCGAGGCCAAAGUCCGAAAUCCUCGCGGUGAGACUAUCGUCCAGCAGAAUGUUCUGAGGCUUUAUGUCGCAGUGGAUUAUCUGCGCUUCGCAUUCCUCGUGCAAGUAUAGGAGGCCUUUCGCAACGCCUAACGCAAUUUGCACUCGCCGCGACCAACUGGGUCUCUCCGUCCUGAACAAAUAGUCCGUCAACGGUCCGUUGCUCAUGUACUCGUAGACCAGUAGCCGAUGCGUCCCCUCGUUGCAGAAUCCGAAUAAUCCGACCAAAUUUUUAUGGUAAGUUCGGCCGAUCGACGUGACCUCAUUCGUGAACUCUUUCUCCGGUUCGCGGAGCCGCUCGUGCAGCAUCUUCACCGCCACGCGCGUCUCGGACUCUAAUGCCAGCACCCCCUUGUAGACCGCACCGAAGGAUCCGCUGCCCAAUUGUUCGCGAAAGUUAUCCGUGGCUUCUUCGAGCUCUCUGUAAGAGAAAGCUCUGAGAUGUAGCCCCGACAAAGCCGGGUCGGGCGCGAGCUUCUGCUUCCGUCUGCAGCAGAAGUGGCACAGCGCGACCGCGAUGCCGGCGACAAGCACUGUAUUGAGGAGCGCCGAGACACCGAGGAUCAAGGAUCCGACUAGCACGGCCGUUCUUCGGUCCCUCCUCUCUUCGAUCACUUUCGUACGGUUCUGAUUCGAGCGUCGGCGGGCGGAGUUAUCUUUCGGCACUUUGAUCAGGGUCUUCCCUCCGACGUCGGUUCCUUCCCGACCGUUGGACACGGGCAUCUUCUUCUUCCAGCAGCUCCCGUCUCGGAAGAUGGCCACGUAGCAGAAGCAGUCGCGCAAGCAAUACUCCUUGCACCGGUCGUCAUCGGUCGGACUGUAGAGCUCGUAGUCCCCGUAGGGGAAGUCGCUCGUGAUCAGCUCGGCGAGAUCGAACAGCGCAGACUCGUCCCUCCCGCAGCUCUGCGCGGGGAAGUCGGGAGUGCAGCCCGAGUACUGGUUCUUCGGGUCCACAAACGAGUACUGCGGCGGGCACUUGCAGACGGGCCGCAGGCUCGCGUCGAUCACGCAGAAGCUGUUGAACCCGCAGACGCCGCUCCCCGUCGGCGUGACAGCCUUGCAUAUGUCGGGAGGGAUGCUCUGCACCGCCGUCCAUCGGCUAGGCCAGCUCGAGCUGCUCGCGUCAGGCUUCGGGUAGACAUACUGGCGGAGGGCGCCGUCGGAGUCGAGCGUCAUCCGCUGGUAAAAAUCAUCGGUGGGGAGCUCGACUUGCGGGGGGAAGGAUAUCGUCGACCCGUUCUUGACGUCGAAGUAGAGCAAUCCGGCGGGGUCGAAGACGAGUUGGGUGUCAUUGCCCGCGGUGGCGGUGUGUUCAUACACGUGGUACUCGUACCCGGUGGCGGCAUUGACGGCCAAGAACACGAGGUCGCCGUCCUCGCGGUUGAGGAGCUGGAACCGGCCCUUGGAGUAGUCGGAGUCGGUGAGCCGAGACUGAAGGAACGUGCUUUGGUUCAGCACCUGCGCCGGAACCAUGGUGUCCGUAGGGAACGCGAAGCUCUGCCACAGCACGGCCGAAUCCGCGGCGAAGACGACGAGAUUGCCGGUGUCGAGGAGCGACGCGGACGACACGGCCACGCCAGCUGGCUGCCACACCGGCCGCCCCAUAGCUCCGUUGGUUAGAGCGAAUUGGCCGUCGACUGUUAACACGAGCCGGGCAGCAGGUCCGACAGGACUGUCGCCGUUGGCAGACCAGACGACGGUCUUGGGAUCGGUGCCGGCGAACCAGACGGCGAGGAGGAAGCCGGAGGCGUCGGAGUCAUUCGGCAGAGGGUGGAAGCCGAAGCCGAAGUCGCCGGAGGGGGACGCCACGUAGGAGAGCGGGCCGGCAGGCGUCAGCGUCGUGCCGCGUGUUAUUUCGGUGACGGUCUGGGCCGCGGUCGCCGUUCGAGUUCGAGUUCGGAUUCCGAGGAGGAGGAGGAGGAAAAGAAUCAGAAAGAAGCGGAGGAGGUGGUGCUGAUGCGUGGGAAAUCCAGUAGUUGAUGCCAUUUUUCAUCGGCCUUUUCUCUCUUCUUCUGAUUCAAUCUGCUGCUAUCUUCACAUGACAUAUACUUACAAUAAAAGUUUGACCUUGACCGGCUGCAAUUUUAGAUUAGACUCUGGGGUAAAUGUUCAUCAACUGUAGGUUUAUUAAUGACUCGUUUUUGGUACUAAAGUUGAGACCAAAGAAAUCUAUGAACACUUUUUUUUUUUUGAGCAACAUGAUAUUACAUACCAAUAAAAUGACGAGUUGAUGACUCAAUUCAACCGUUUGCCAUUAAAACCGCUCGAUUCAACCGUUUGAACUACAUAAAUCAAAAAAUUACUUUGAAUCGUUUGAACUAACUAUUCAACCAUCGAACUGGUGAACCUGCUUAGUUUUAAUUAAACAAGUUGGUAUUUUUGAUCACGCAGGUUUUGAUGCAUUUAACCCUUUAAUUCCAAGUCCUCUAGUAUACAAUAGAAUUUUUUUUUUUUUUAGAGAGAUAGGUAGUACGCUGCCCGCUUCGUUUAUUUCAUUUAAAAAUAAACUUAGGUGGAAAUGUGAAUCAACUAGGAUUCGAACUUGGUUCUCGGAUACCAACGACCAAGCCCUUUGCAACUGGCUCUAGGGACGGUCGGUUGGAAUAGAAUAUUAUUAGUUGUGCGGUGUAUAAGACACAUUGUACACAGGGUCCACGCAAUAGUUUUUACCUAGAAGGUCCGGAACUGAAAGCUCGCAUUAAACUGUCGGAGCCUAUUCGCUAUAAAACAUGUUUCGGGUCCGACGUUUUACACUUUUCUCCCCGCUUCGUUUCAAACCCUAACCCCUCCCUCUCCGGUCCCCCUCCCAAAAAUUUGCCCUAAUCCCACCCUCGCGACGCGAAUUCUCCAUCGAAUUCGAAUCCUCGAGCUCGUGAUGCAUCGGUUCUCGCGGUGAUCGCGGAGGAGUGGGCGUAGAAGCGGUGGAUCUCGCGGUCGUGGCGCGAACUGGGGAUUGUUUGUGAACAAGACAUCUCCUUUUUGCGCUUCUUCGAGUUGUUUACGGCGAUUUCGACGGAUUGGGGGAAGAAUUUGCGUAUAAUAUGGCCAUGGAGUAUGAUCCUUCGGAUAGUAGCGGUGAGUGGGUUCGAUCUCUUUCUUUGUCUUCUUUCAAUUAGAUGUUCUUUUUUUACGAUUUUCUGAGCUUAUAGGUCGAUACAUAUGAGGAACUCUCAUCGAAUUUUUGUAUCAGCGUGUUAUUAUGCGUGGGACUUGUUGAAUUAGCAGAUAUUUUAUUUUGGGGGGCAAGCAAUUUGGGGUGAAAACUAGGGUUUCUAGCUUAGUUCUUUGCAUAUUAAGCUUUGGAAGCUAGAGUCUGUAGCUUUGGAUAUUAGGGUUUUGGAAGCUAGAGUCUGUAGCUUUGGAUAUUAGGGUUUUGGAAGCUGGAGUUUUUAGCUUCUUUAUUUUUUUAGCAAAUUAGGGUUUUGGAAACUAGGGUUUGUAGCUUAGUUUCUUGUAAAAUUGGGUUUGGAAACUAGGGUUUGUAGCUUAGUUUCUUGUAAAAUUGGGUUUGGAAACUAGGUUUUGUGGCUUUAGACAGCUUACAGCGUCCUCUUAUUUGAAGGUUGAACUUUUAGUCGUGGGGAGAGUGGAGAGAUUACAAAAGAAAAGCUGGACUAUUUGUAUAAGUUGAUUUUGUCUCUCUUGAGUUAGAAGAACAAGAAAACUAUCGAAGAGUAUAGAAAGUAGGGGGAAAAAAAUGGAGCUGCUAAAACGUUUUCGAAUGGAAUAGGGAUAGGUUGGGAAAAGCAUUAGUAAACUUGUUAUAUUUACUCUGCAGGAACUGAUGAUGAUCUUCCACCAACAUAUCAGAACAGGGCUGCGAGAGGAGGGCGUGUCAGUGGAAAUGGAAGGCCAAUUGUUGCUGCUAGUCCAUAUCCAAGGGUACAAAAUGAUAUGGAAGUCCAAAUACAUCAGCUCGAGCAAGAAGCCUACAGUUCAGUUCUCCGGGCAUUUAAGGCUCAGUCUGAUGCCAUUACUUGGGUAUUCACUUCCUUAAAAUCAUUGACCAAAUAAUUUAUACCUAUCAACUUUUGUUUCUUUUUGCACUUUUCCAGUUGUUAAUAUAAUCCAUCUCACUAAACAAACAUGAAUUUUUCAGGAGAAGGAAAGUCUCAUAACUGAACUAAGAAAGGAACUAAGAGUGUCCGACAAGGAACACAGAGAACUAUUAAGCAGGGUGAAUGCUGAUGACGUUAUUCGAAGAAUAAGGUUUCAUAUUAAGGAACUUAUCUGUGGUACAAGAUCUAUAAAAUUGGGUCUUGAACAGAUUUUUAUUCCAUAUGAUUACUGAAUUCUUUGUUAACAUCAAUAGGGAAUGGAGACAGGCUGGUGGUACUCAAACUGGCCUGGCUAAUAAUCCUCAGCCGAAACAUGAUACCGUACCCAGUCCGUCUGUGUCAGCUUCUCGCAAAAGGCAAAAGACAUCACAAUCUAUACCUUCUCUACCUUUGCCAGCACCAUCUCCUGCAUUGCUUCCACAACCGCUUGCUCCUUCAAUGCAGCCGUCAUCAUCGGCUGCAAAAAAGGGAGCUCCACCAGGACCAAAGGGGAAAAAAACUAAAUCUGUAAGAUGAUUUCAUAUAUGCAUGUGUUUUUCUAAGGUCUCCUCACAUUAUGCAUUUUGUUCCCCCUUCCUUUUUUCCUUAUGUAUAACUCAUUCUUUGAAGGGUCAAAAGUUGCCUGGUGCAGCCUCAACAAAAUCCAUGCAGUAUCCUUCUGCUGGCCCUAGUGUAAGAGGCCAAGUCACAAACAGAAACUCUUCUGGUGCUCUUGCUGCUAUUGAACCCGCUGAAGCACCAUCAUAUGAUCCGCUAGUUGGGCGUAAAGUCAUGACGAGGUGGCCUGAAGAUAAUAGCUUUUAUGAGGCUGUUAUCACCGAUUACAAUCCAGUUGAGGUGUGUUUGGUUACUUAAUGCUCAAUAUCUGCGACUAGAAUUAGGCUUCAGCCACCUCAUCUGUUACUAUUAUUGGCAGGGUCUACAUGCUCUGGUUUAUGACAUAAACACGCAGAAUGAAACAUGGGAAUGGGUCAAUUUAAAAGAGGUGAUUCAACUUCUUUUCUGCAUCAGAUGAUUCAGAUCACUAAAAUCCUUUUAACUUCUGUUUUUCUCUUUUUAUUUAACGGCUUAAGUCCUCCUAUAUCCAUCUUAUGGCAAGUUAAUGUGCCAUUCAUAGCGAAGUGUUUGGUCUUUAUCUUUGGGAAUGACAAUCCUGACAUAAUAGUGAACAAAAAUUGUUAAUGAUCGCUGGAUGGGUCACUAAUGUGAGAACUACUGCUGGUACUGCUAACGACCAUCAGAGCACAAUGGUCUCAUCAAUGUUUUGCUUUGAGCCCUCUCUUUUGCUUCAAAUUUUUAUUAGCUUCACAAAUGAUAUCUCAUGGUCUAUGCUAGUUACCGGUGAUGUUGUCUUGGAAGAUGAGACAUGAUCAGGCAUUCAGACAACUUUACACCAUAGCUGACUUUGUGGGUUUUGUAAUAAGUAACAUUUAUGUGAAAUAGGUAUGAAUGCAAGUUAACUGACUAGAAUUGAUGACUUUUCAAAGAAGAUAGGAGGGCAAGAUAUAGUCGGAGGUGGCCAUGAUUAUGGGAAUGACGUCAUUCACCCUAAGACUGGAGGAAAAGCAACUUAGGGAUAGGGAAAAAUAAGGAAGAUUGUUCCUUGCUCAUAUAAAAAUUGGUAAUAUUAGUGCAUUGAUUGGAAAAGUGAGGCAAUGCAUGGUUGGUGAUACCAAAAGAUGUGAAUGCUGAAAAUGACAUGCUUUUGGUUAGAAGAGAUUUAGCCUUUGAGUAAAGGAGAAUAGUGUUGGAGUUGAUGUUUGAGUUAUGCUGCCAGAGAGAAGUCAGUAUUGUUCUGUUCGAUUUGGAGAUUAGUGUAGAUUAGCAAAAACUCUUAGAUUAGUGUAGACUUUUCCAUAUUGUUGAAACUAAAUUUCACUAGUCUAAAUUUAGUCAAACUAUAUAAAGUUUGACUUGUUGUUUUGACUUCUUUCUCUUAGAAUACAAUUUUCAAAACCUUUGGGAUGAGAUAUCGAAUUUAUUACCGACUGCAAAUGUUGAUAUUGCUUUUCACUAAUAAAAUUGAUUACUAUUGUUUGGAGAUUGUAUGUAGUAAGAACCUUUUUUAGUUCAAUGAUAAACUUGUUCGGAAACAAUCUCUUUCAUUUGGAUGGUUAUUUGUGCUGGUUUGUGACUUUGGAUUGGGUACAGACUUUACACAUGUUGAUAUUUUAAUGCGCACUUCUUGAUAGAUAUAUUCUUGUAAAUAGUUAUAACGACUCGACCCACUAGUAACAAUUCGUUGAGCCCAUACCAUUGGCCCAAUAUGCUUUAGCCCAGUUAUUAAGGUACACGACCUCUUAUGUUCAGACCUAGAAAUCCUUUUCUAUCCGAUGUGGGACUAUUGAGGUGUUAUAAACUCUCUCCAUUUAAAUCCUAACAUCCUUGGCAGGUCCAAACUCAAUCACGUCCGAACUCAAUCACACACAUAAACCAGAAUUAUCAGAUGAUGUGAGAUUCUAGAGGUGUCUCCCGUGGGUUUAAGAGAUGGCUCCUAUCAAACUCGUAAUAUAGCACUUUGUCUUGUAUAGUACUUAACUUUCACACUUUCGGCUGGUAUUCGCCUCGGAUACCAAAUGUAAUGACCUUGCCGCAAGGUCCAAAAUACUUAAGCUCAAUUAUUAUUAUUAAGGUGCGUGGCCUCUUAUAUUCUCGAUUAGAACCCUUUUUCCAUCUGAUGUGGGACUAUUGUGGUGCUACAAUAGUGGAUUCAUAUCCUAAGAGCAGUGAUUGUUUUGGGGAUGACAUAUUGUGAAGACUACCUUGUAAUACCCUGCAUUAGUUUCAUAGGUGUUGGUAGAUAAUGAGAGGCAGAAAGGCUUCUUCUAGUGGUAUAUUAUGUGAGACAAAAAGUAUCUAGUAUCCCUUUUUAAGUGGUGUAUUAUGUGGGACAAAAAGUAUCUAGUAUCCCUUUUCAAGUUAUCUUUCUAAUCUGUGUAGGACCGAUUAUGGGUUCUUGGCAAUCAGGGCUGUGUCUUUAAGAUUGGAAGGAAAAAAAAAAUCCCUCUUCAAUACUUAAUGCAACUACAUCAUGGGAUUUUGUAUUCAAUUUGCAAACUAGCUUAAGAACUUCUGCGAAACUCCUAGAUCAUAAGUAUGCUAGUUUGUGCUAGUGUGUGAAGGUUUACGUAAUUUGUUAUUCCCUUGUUUAAGAAUUUUUGUUGUUGCUCUAGGAAUAUUGUAUGAGUCAUUUUGUAUCAUCCAAUGACUCAUAAUAUCUAACUCCAAAAAUAAUUUUUGAUAGGCGACUAUUGUUCUGAUCAUGAUAUACUGGUUGUGCUGAUCAUCAUGUACUGCUUGUGCUUUGCUUGUUGAACUUUCUUUGACCACAGAUCUCGCCGGAGGACAUAAUGUGGGAUGGUGAGGACCCGGGUAUCAAUCAAUGGCCAGGACGUGGUGGUGCUCGUUCCGGGCGCGGUGGGGUUAAGAAGUCUGGUGGCCGUGGUGGUGCCAUUUCAGGUGCAGGAAGGGGAAGGGGAUCCCUUAAGAAUGCGAGAAAAGAUUUCCCUCCAACUCAAAAUGGCAUUGGCAAGAAGAACCCUGAUGACAUUGAAAUUCUUCACACCGAAACGCUUAUAAAGGAGGUAUGCUUGAUAUAGAAUCUCGAUGGACAUGUCGAACUGAAAAGGGUUAAAGAUUGGUGUAUGAUAUUUCGUGCAAUUUACAAUGUCUAGCAGGUGGAGAGGGUUUUCGGUGCAAGUCAUCCCGAUCCUGUUGAGAUUGAGAGGGCAAAAAAACUGCUAAAGGUAAAAUUUACUUGUCAAAAAAAAAAUCUCGUCUCUAAGGUGUUUUAUCAGAUUGAUCAAGAAACAUAAGAGGCUGUUCUCUUGCAGGAGCAUGAACAAUCAUUGAUUGAUGCAAUUUCUAGGCUCGCUGAUGCUUCGGAUGGAGAAAGUGGUAAAUACUAAUCUUCCUUUCCAUUUACAUCUACAAGUGAUGACCCAGUGACGAUAGAAAGGCACUUUUGUCUGGAUAACAUAUUUUCCUCUAGCUAGUAUAUUUUUUGUUGUAAUUAAUUUUGUAUAGCCUGUAGUGAAAUGAGGAAGUUUUGGAGGAAUUUUGCUGUAAAGUUAUAGUACUUUAAUUUCAAAUGAUUGAUGUGCUAGGAAACAUUCUGGGAACAUCCUUAACCAUUAUGAACAUCUUCUUAAUCAAUGUAAUACAAUUUCAUGAUAAAUUAAUGAUUUUUUUCCCCUUUUCCAAAGUUUCCUCUGACGUUUAUCGUGAUCAGUCAUUUCCUCAUAGUAGGAAAAAUUCUAUAUUAUGUAACAUCCGCAAGCUGACUUUAAAAAAAAAAAAAAGGUAAGAAAGGAAAUAAAAAAAGGAACUCUUCUUUUCUCUCUCUAUCAUUUUGUAAUUCUUCUUGAUCCCUUUCACGAUGCAGACGGUGGGCACCGUUUCUCGCGUGGCCAGUCAAUGGAGCAAAACCGUGGGUGGAGGAACCAACCCUACACCGCAAAUAAGCAUGCAGAAGGUAGGGAAGGCUCCGAUGGCGAUCACAUGGUCGGGGACGGUGCCGCCUCUGACUACCGGCACGACGGCGAUGACGAUGACAUAUAGUUCGCAGCCCCGCCACCGCCGCUGAUUCACUUCACAACCAUCCUCUCUUGUGUAAAAUGCCUUUUGCUGAUAUUUGUCCGCUUUCCCGUCAAGCAAGUGUUUGUAUUUCAUCCCUUAUGUGUAUCUCUCUCUAGGUAUUGAUACAAUUAGGAAGGGUGCCUCUGAUCUAGGGUUAAUCACCAUAUUUGAAAGGAAAGGUUUAGCAGGUCUCUGUAGAAAUCAAUACUGGCAGCUAGAUGACCAUGUAAAUUAUUGUGAAAAUGGCUUCCCCUCUCUUCUUGUUUUCUGUGGUUGUUGUUGCUCAUGUGCAUCUCUAUUUUCUGAGUUUUAGAUUUUUUUUUUUUAUUUUUUUUGGAUUUGGGAAGAGCUUUUCUAAUUCAUGAGAUUGAUUGAUGCUGAUCUUGUUGGCAGGACUGAUGCAUGCUGCAGAGUACACCAGUGUCUUUUGAAAAUGCUGUGAUGAGCUUAGUAUGGAUGAACUGUGGUUUUUUCUUUUUUUUUCCUUUUCUUUUUGUUUUUUGUUGUGGUAAAUAUUUACAGAAAUUACUUGAAUUAUGGAUCAUUUUAAGUUGGCUUUUUGACCUUUCAAAAUUUUAAUUUUACUAUUUAAUCUUUCAAUGUAUUUGAUUUGAGCAAGAUAACGGUAUUUUGAUUUUAAAAUUUAAGUUAUUGUUUAUUUAAAAAAAAAUUUAUAGUUAUGAGAAUUGCAAAAGGAUAGUAAUUAAAUCUGGAAAGAUAAAUGAUUAAUUCAAAUUUAAAGUUAGGAUGUAAUUGAUUGAUUUAAAUUAAAAAAUUUAAUACUAAAAUUAAAAUUUUGAAAAAUUAGAUAAGCAAUUUAAAAUAGCCAAUAAAAUUUUGCCUUUUUUUUUUUUUUCCUGUAUUAUUCCGAAGAAAGACCUUUCUGGACUGACUCAAUGCAAUCAUAAUUUUUGUUUUAAAAAAUGCUAUUGAAUAUUGAAUACGACAUACCUAAGAAAAAGAAAAAAAAAAACAUCCACAGAAGCAGAAGCAGAAGAAGCUGAUUUAAUCUUUCAAUGUGUUUGAUUUGAGCAAGAUAACGGUAUUUUGACUUUAAAAUCUAAGUUAAUUGUUUAUUUUAAAAAAUUUGUAGUCAUGAGAAUUACAAAAGAAUAGUAAUUAAAUUUGGAAAGAUAAAUGAUCGAUUCAAAUUUUAAAGUUAAGAUGUUAUUGAUCGAUUUAAAUUAAAUAAAUUAAAAAAUUUAAUAUUGAAAUUAAAAUUUUUAAAAAUUAGAUAAGUAAUUUAAAAUAGCCAAUAAAAUUUUGUCUUUUUUUUUUCCCCUGUAUUAUUCCUAAGAAAGACCUUUCUGGGCUGACUCAAGGCAAUCAUAACUUUUUGUUUUAACAAAUGUUAUUGAAUAUUACAUGCAACAUACCACCAGAAAAAAAAAAAGAAGAAAAAAAACACCCACACACACAGAAGCAGAAGAAGUUGUAUAUAUAUAGAGUUGAACUAGAAUACUAUCGAUAGUAAAUGAGUCGUUUUACUAUUGAUUUGUUUUCGAUGAUAGAGCUUCCAAAUUGACGAUCGGCUCCGUUAAAUAUGAUCUAAACCAUUUAAACUAGCUAGAAAUCAAAUUUCACGCAGUUUCAAUAUUGUUCUUUUAUCCAUCAAGUGAACAGAAAAAUGAAUGCCUGAAAAUAAAUAUUCUUUAAAAAAUAAUGAUAAGAGUCUUGUAAUCAAGAUCAAGAGUAUAGAUCUUGUUUUAAAUAGUUUAAAGAAUUUUCUAACAAAAAUUCAAUUGAUUUGGAUAUCUUUACGCCGUUAAACGAGAAAACGCCUCUUAUCGACCAUUAAAAUUACAAAUUUUGAAACCCUUUGAUCAUUAGGCAAAUGAUGUCGAAAAGAUUUAAAAUUUGAUUUCUAAACACUUCAAGUGGUAUAGAUCAUGUUCAACGGAGCCGAUUGUCAAUUUGAAAGCUCUAUCAUCGAAAACAAAUAUGUAGUAAAACGACUCGUUUACUAUCGAUAGUAUUCUAGCUCAAUUCUAUAUAUAUAUAUAGAGAGAGAGAGAGGCUACUAUGCUUCUGGAAGCAUGAAGCUUUCUAUGCUUCCAGAUUGUUUUUGAUGUUACGACUUUCGAAUCGUCGAUCGACUCCGUUAAACUAGAUCUAGAGUAUUUGAAGUACCUAGAAAAUAAAUUUUGCAAUUUUUCGAUAUCAUUUGCCUAGUGAAUUAAAGGGCUCAAAAUCAACAGCUGAAAAUAAAAAUCUUACAAAAUGUGAUAAUAUGACAUUAAAAUUUUAGAUUAAAGAUAUUUAUCUUAUUUUAUAUAGUAUAAAAAAUUUUCUGUUAAAAUUUUGCGUGAUUAGGAUAUUUNAUAUAUAUAUAUAUAUAUAUAUAUAUAUAUAUAUAUAUAUAUAUAUAUAUAUAAUUAGGCUGGAAUACUUAAUGAUCCUUUUGCUAUCAAGUUUUUAACCCUUGGAUGAAAAAUUGUAGGGUCAGGAUGAUAUUAGUCGGUUAGAGUUGAGUGGUCCCCCUAGGGUUGAGUGGUUCCCACUGGAUUAUAGUAUUUAAUCCAAUGUGGCGGACCGGGUGCACGCAAUUGGACGUAAUUUUUUUUGCCGCGCGGACUCCAGAUCCCGAGCAACCCCACAAUUAACUGGAUUUAAAUCCACUCCCUCACGUCCAGCCUAUAUAUAUUACUCGGGCCCGUACCUCCCCCAUCCGCGUUCGAGGCUCUUCGGCUCCACCCUCAGGCUAAGCCUCCUCCCUUUCUCCACCGCACAAAACCUAACCCUAACCCUAACCCUAGCUCCAGGGUUUUGUGCCUUCUCCCGCCCCUAUUAGGGUUUUGCCCCCGAAUCUGUUUCCCAUCCUUCUCCUCUCUUCUUCGGACAGAGGCUCCGCGAUUCGGGGAUCUCUAGUCUCCGCCAUGGACGGGGGUCGCAAGAGGGGGAGGCCGGGGGCGGCGAACGGAGGGGGCGUCGGAGCGAAGCGCUCGAGAGGUGAGAAGAAGAAACCCUUAGGGCUUUCUAAUUCUGUCUGUGUUUUUUUAGCUGUUAAUUGUUUUGUAUUCUUGGCGUUUUGACUUUUGAGUGAUGGAUCUGGAUCGAGCUGGUAUGUUUAUUCGGGUAAGGUAGUGUUCUUGUUGUACAAAUUGAUGAGGAUGUGGAGUUUCCUCUUCAAUGAGCCUCCUUUUUUGCUUUUAAUUGGGUUAUAACGAUUUUUUUCAGUUAAUUUCUGGUUUAGAACUGUAGCAGCUUGUUUUCCUGUUAAUUACUUUCUCAUUUAACUUCAUGCUGCUACCGUGUCUGUUAUGUGUAUAGUGAGCAAAUGAUCAAACUACUGGUGAUUAAACCAUUAUUUAUCCAGUUCCGUAGCUUCAAUGAACGCCAUUUUUCAUGCUGGUUUUGACUUUUAAUUGGAAAAUUGCUGGAGAUUCGAAGAGGACUCUAGUUUGAUGGCACAUCCGGAAAUAUCCAGCUAGAACAGACGUGAACUUAAAUAUAUAGAAAAAUGUUCUUUCGCAACUCUAUUAUUCAACGUCUGAAACGAAUCGAUGUGGUCAUCUGACUUAACAAUUUAUUCACUUAUAUAAUGAGUAUAAUUUUCUGUGGAUUUGAGAUUUAAGUUUACUGAUGAAUCGCCAAUAUAUUCGCCUUAAAACUUUUAAAGUAAAUUUUGAAUUAGUAAACUCAGUGCUAGUUAGAACUGAGUACUUUGUGUCAUUUCCAUGAAUACAUUAAUAUAGUGAAUUGUUAUGAAAUUUUACCUUAAAAUUCUGAUAUGAUGUGAUUUAACUUAAUAGGAAAGUGAGUCUAGGGACACUUUCCUCUUGAAAGUUCUCAACUUGUUACAUAUUUUAUUAAAUAGUUUUCAUAUACUAUCUAAGAUUAGCUUAAUCAACAAAUUGUGACUGAGAACGAAUAAUUAAUUUCAUGUAACAGAAAUGGACUCUGGUCUAGGAAGCAAGUUGAAGCCUUGCACCAAGUUUUUCAGGUUCUAAUCUUAACUCACCUAAAACUUACAUCUUAACGGUAAUUUCUAUUUUUUCUGCAAAUCUGCUUUUUAAGUGGUAAAGGCUUUAUCUUCUAGAAGAAUAUAUUUAAUGCUAAUGGGCUAAUUCAACAGGUAUAAAGAUUGUGAUACAGGUUCUUGUUAAAUCAUUUACCAGUGUUGAACAGAGAAAUGUGGAACAUACAAUUGGCUUUAUUAUGAAAUUCGCCAAGCUAUAAGUUACGUCAGAGCAAACAAUUGAAAUUGAUAUGGAAGAUGAUGUCCGAGCCUACUGCUACGUUAAUUCAUAUUAUACCUAGUUGUUCAACAGUAUUAUCUGAGUAGCUUGCAUGUCUUUAUAUAAAUUAUCAAUCUUCUUUCUUUUGCUUUAUUUACCGAUAUUUUUCCUGUAUUUUACGCUUCUCUGAGUAAAUAUUGUAGUUUUCUUGGAUGCCAUUCCAUGCUGAUUAAUUUCUUGCUUCUUUGGUGCAUGAGCUUCUCCCCAGAAUUUCAUUUUUUUGGUUUACAUAUGUCAAUUUGCGUGAGUAGUUUUAGCAAUGGAAUGCCUUUGUAGAGAAUACGUUUCUUUUUGGUUUGCAGCUUUUGAGUUGCUUGUCAACUAGCGGUAGAAUUAUUCUUAGUUAUGUUUUUUUUGUGCUGUGGUAAUGCUAAGUCAAAAUUUUAGCAGAAAAUAUAUUUUAAGAUUAAAGUUACAAGAACUAAGGAAACCACAUCAGUCCAACUUGGGGCCGUGUCUUGUGUUGAGUGAGAUAUAGUUGCUUAACAGGCUUAUUUUCAUUUAUUUAUAUUUGUUUACAUAUGUGGUAGUUUAGUACAGAAGUUGCAGUCGAUACACAAGGGAUCUAUACAACUAGUUUUAACUUUGAACUCUUUUGCGCAAUAGGUUCUUUGGGUGAUUCAAGUGAGAGUUCAAAUUUGUUGAGGCAUUUUGUAUGCAAACAAUUUAGUUUGCCACUUGUAGAUAUCAGAGUUACAGGGAUCAACUUCCUGAAUUUCUCCAAAACAAAAACAAUAAUCAAGUGAAGUAAAAUAGGUCUAUAUAUCUCUGGUCAUGUGGGAAUGGCACCUCUGGUUGCGGGAUCAUCAAUGGUUCGGGUUAGUACCUGGAUAUUAUCACAAGACAGGUCAAUCUGAACGAAACCAUAAUAAUCACAAGAUAGCUGUAUGUGUAAUAAGUAUCCCAUCAAUGACUAUACUGAGGACACUCGCUGCUCCGUCAAUUUAUAAACGUAGCUAGGCAGUCCAUGGCAGUUUGACCCCUAGAAUUUCUAGGUAUCAUGUAUUUAACACAGGCAGCUACAAUAUUCAAUUCAUGAUAGUCAAAAUAAAGAGGAGAUUGCGGUUUGUUGCUAGAAUUUUCAUAAGAAGAUAUAUAAUAGGGAGAAGAUAAGUAAGAAAUACAAAAGGAAACGAAACGAAGAUAAUUGUUUGAGGUUCGCGAGAGGAUCUUUAGAUUAGUCAUCUGGAGAGUGGGUGGUUUGUGGUAACAAUAUGAAUUUAAUGAAGUCUUUUAGUUUGUUAUCUUGCUACCUUUGGUUCUCCUUGAAACUUGUGUGCUGGUUUUGAUACACAUUUUUAGGUUGUUAUCUAGAUUACCUGUCGAGUACUCAGUAUUGUAGAUUGUUUUUAUGAGCCUUUACUUGUCAUAGGCUUUGGUAAUAUUUACUUCUAGAGUCAUCAGCUAUAGUACCCUUGACUGCUUCACUAAAUUACUUGCAGUUGUCUGCAUGCAGGUCUGAUGCUUUAUACAAUUUUAAUUAUAAUAUUGAGUUUUGUCGAAAACAACUUUCAUUUCCUCUCAAAGUAAUGAGAUAUACUUGUUAGCCAAAUUAUAUUUAUUUUGAAGUUUUUUUUUUUUUUAAAAGCUGAUUUCCAUCAAUUUAUGAAAUAAACUGGUAGAGUUUCCAUUUGUUAUACAAACAGAUAAUUAUAAUUGGGGGUGAGAAUUUAGAUCGCUCUAAAAGUAAAAUGUUUUGAUGGCUGAUUGUUGGAGUUUCUUUGAUGUCCUGCAUUUUCUCUUUUUCUCCCACUAGAGCUGGUUUUGUGAGAAACUUUUUAAAUGAGUCUAAGUACACUGUAGUGAAGAAUUUUGCCUAUAAUUUGCCAGGAAAAGAGAAUGGUCUACUAGUCUAAAUUUAUACCGUGUUAGAAAUUUUCAAAGUGCUUGCGUGAUGGUUGUAUGUGUUAUCAUAUAAGCUUCUUUUGGGGCUUUUGUCCUGUUGUGCAUAACUGAUAUUUUUCUUUGUUAUUCAUGUGAAAAAUUCCACGUACAAAAUAUAAUACUUAACUACCUUUGUUACAUCCAGCCUUAGUAGAAUGCAGUUUUGUCUUCUCGAGUCGGUGGAGGGAUACUGUACUUUCUGUGAUUGGAUAGACAAGGGACUAACAAAUUCUUCUUAUUAUAGUCUUGUGCCUCUCCUUUUUCUAUGCAUCGACAUAUAUUUGUUUGUCUAUUAUUAUGUACCGGAAGACCUAAAUUGGAAUCCUUAAUUUAUUUUCUGUGGUGCAGCACUGCUGGUUGCCAAUUUGGUGAGGGCUGCCAUUUUCUGCAUUACGUCCCCGGCGGAUACCAGGCCGUGGCACAGAUGACUAACCUGGGCAACCUAGCCCACGCUCCUCCGGCGCGAGCGCCAGUCGCCGCUCCCCCCGCCUCCAACAGCUCUUCCGCCCCGGCCGUCAAGACCCGCCUUUGCAACAAGUUCAACACUGCCGAGGGCUGCAAAUUCGGGGACAAGUGCCACUUUGCCCAUGGGGAAAGAGAGCUCGGCAAGCCCAUCUCUCAAGAUGGUGGCCCCACCAUGGCGCCACCCCCCAUUGCCGGAGGAAGGCCGGUUCCCGGCCGCUAUGAGCCGCCAAUGCCAUUAGCCGGUUCAGGGGCUCCAGGCAGCUUUGGCGCGUCGGCCACUGCCAAGAUCAGCGUCGAUGCCUCCCUCGCCGGUGCCAUUAUUGGGAAGGGAGGGGUCAACACAAAGCAGAUAUGUCGCGUCACAGGAGCGAAAUUAGCCAUAAGAGAUCACGAGUCCGAUCCAAACCUGAGGAACAUCGAGCUUGAGGGUACCUUCGAUCAGAUCAAGCACGCCAGCGCCAUGGUGAGGGAGCUCAUCGUCAGUGUAAGCGCGUCCACUCCGAUGCCCACAAAGCCACUGGCGGCAGCAGCUGCUGCUGCAGGCGGUCAUGGCGGGCCUGGUAACAACUACAAAACAAAGCUGUGCGAGAAAUUUGCAAAGGGUACCUGCACAUUCGGCGACCGGUGCCACUUUGCUCACGGGUCGGGCGAGCUGCGAAAAACUGCUGUUUGAGUUUUGCUACUUUUUGUGCCGCUGUCUCCGACGAGCUUCCCCGGUUCUCCAUUUCCUUUCUCGUUGGAUUUCAGCAGGGGCUUGAUAUUCACCCGGAUUUUUAGUUACUGUAUUUCUGAUUUGCUAGGAAUGAUUCCAGGUUUUCCACCAUUUGCGUUUUUUCUUCUUUCUGUAGCAUCUUUGUGUUAUCUCACGCUUUUGAAGCCAAUAUUCGUGGCCGUAGGAUAUUUUUCGCCGUGUAUCGUUGUUAUUUAUUGCUAGCCUACUCACUGUUUCAUAUGGUCUUGUUGAACCUUUUGUAUCUUUUCCGAGCUUUAAAUCACCCGCAUCUUGGGACAGCAAAAUGUGCACUAAAUGGUUGAUUUAAUGUGGCUUUUUCUGUAUCUGUAGAAGAAUCAGAAUUUGUUGGCCCUGUUUUCCUUUUGCGCAAUGUGCUGUGAGGAGAAAGCAUUGUACUGUAUCAUUUUUUCUGAAACUGUAAGCCCAACUAUAUACUGUUGUUGUGUGUGUGCGCGCGUACCUGCGGCGCACUCGUGCGUAGUUAUUACGACACGUUUUCUGUGUUGAUUUUAAACAAAUGUCUUCUGGAAGCGCAGUAUCUUGCAUUUUCCAACAUCAAAUCAGUUAUCGGUUGUGUGAAGGAAAGAAAACUGCAUCACAUCUGAAACUAUUUUUCAACCCUGCUGUCUCGGUCAGGGUUUCAGCCUCCAAUCCUGUUAAUGCCAAAUCAUGUAGGGAGAGAGUUAAUGCGUAAGAAGUGAUUACUGUAGAUCAUAUUAUUUGUUGCUUUGUGAUCGGAAAACUUUUUUAAGUUGGACAAAUGUAAUCUAUAUAAGAUUCUGGAAUUCCAAAACAGAAGCGCCAACUUGUUGCUUUGAUUUUGGUGCAAGGCGAGUUUGUUGAAAGAUUUUUAAUGCAAUGUUUUCUCUGUAGUGCUAUUCAGACAGCAAUUCAUCUUAGGUAUAUUAUGUAGUGGCAUUAGAAAGAUUAUGUGUCGCGCUAUUUGGAUCUCAAUUUUUCUUAUAAAUUAAGAAGGAAAAUAAGGAAAAAAAGAGAAAAGAAAAGAGAAUGGGCAAUAAUUCACAAUUUUAUGCUGAUGAAUCCAUAUGCAGGAGCAACACAUACGCCAAUACCAAUGGUGAGAACAAAGAGGAAAAUAUGUACACAUGAUUGCCUCACAAGCUAGUUACAAAGUAUACAAGACAAAAAGAGAAACUUUAAGAUUUUUUUUUAAAAAAAAAGCAGAAAAAGCUCAAUCCAAAAGUGAAGAAUCCAUUCCAAAUUAUACAGAAUUAAUGAAACCAAUCAAUUAGCAAUUAAGCCUUUCAUGUAUACAUAUCCACAACCCUAGGUAUAACAUGAAUCACAUGCAAGUGUAAAAAAGCCAAAAAAUAUACACAAACUAUAUAUGACACAUCCAAAUUAAUUAAUUGGAACUGCAUAUAUGCAACAACAUUGGAUCACACAUCCACUCCAGAGGAACCCAAAGGGAGGAGCCAGGUGAACUCAGCAAGCCCUUGGAAGAAUCCAUGAUCAUGAUCAUCUUCCAAUCCACUGAGAUACCCCCCGCCCGACGGGCUCCCGUCCGGCCACGGCCGCCUCCCGUCCUCCUCCCUCGCCUCUCCCUUUAUGUCUGCCUUCUCUCGACCAUGCAGAUUAUUACGUUGUAAUCCUGACAUUUCUGUCGGUGAACGAUUCACUGUCUUCUUUAUUAUUCUGCCACGGGUUUUCUUCCCUGGCUUUCCCGUGAGCUGCUGCACGAGCUCACGAAAGUUGUCGACGUCAGUUUUGAUGAUCUCCGGCGCAAAGAUGUGGACUAUUCGAAUCUUGGGCUUCGGUUUCGAUAUCGUGUGCGAGUCUUUGCGCACCGAGAAUGUCGUCAGAGGCCGGUCGUGGGCUCCUGAGCUCAUGACGGUUUCCGCCGCCGACGCCCCGGCGCCCCCGGCCCCAGGUGUGCACUUUGGAAGGAUAGAUAGAGAUAGAGAUAGGGAACAAUUAAUUGAUGCAGGAGGAAAGAAUCAUACAUACAUAUAUGAAUGGAUUAAAAAUUGUUAAAAUAUUAAUGUGGAAGUGGAGGGGAAAUGGAAAGUGAUAAGUAACCAAGAAAAAAAAAAAUCAUUGAAAUAUUGUUUGUUGACAAUUAAGGUACAAAUCAAAUUUCAUAGAGCUUUGAAGCCCAAUAAGAUACCUUGUGAGAAGAAUAUAAAUUUCAGCAGUAUAUAGUUUUGCAUAUUUUGUGCAAUUUUUAAUAACUGUCUUUAUUUUAUUGUCAAAUAAAUUUGUUGAUGUGUAAGUAAUGUUAUGCUUAUAAAUAAAUUUUACGAUACUUUAAAAACAUUUUUUUUUUCUUUUUUUGGGCAUAUUAGUAAGUUAAAUUUACUUCACAAAGAUCUGACUUUGGAACAUCCCUGUAAAGUACAAGCACAUGUAUCUCAAUUGCAUAUAUAUAUUUUUUAUAUAUUUAUUUAAUAUUGAGUCACAAACACAACGACAAUAAUAAAAUAGAAGCUUAAGAAACCUUCUCAUUAUCUUCAAGAAUAAGAAAGAGCUUGUCAUUGGAUAGAUAAAGUCUCAACAGUUACAACCUAAUUUUUUAUCUCUCUCUCUCUCUUUCAAUAUAUAUAUAGAUAUAUAUAUAUAGUUAGGCUGAUAUACUAUCGGUAGCACGAAAUCUCUAUACUAUCAAGUUAUUUUCAAUGAUGCGGCUUUCAAAUCGACGAUCGGUUUCAUUAAACUUAAUUUACACUAUUGAAAGUAUUUGAAAACUAAAUUUCAUAAUUUUUCAACAUCAUUAAUUUCAGUUAGAAAGAGAGAUUGCAGAAUUACAAUCUAUAAGUUAUUUUCAGCUUGGGUUCCUAAAACUAUUAAAUUAUAUAAUAUUAUUUAUAUAAUAGUUCAGCGCAAAAGCUCUUUUUUUACGGCCAUUUUCUUUUUUUUGUCAUACAAUUUGAAACCAUCACAAUGGCAAGUUCUAUUAAUCAAAUAUAUAUAUAUAUAUAUAUAUAUAGAGAGAGAGAGAGAGAGAGAGCGCGCUAGGCUCUUAUGCUUUCGAAAGUACGGCCAUUUGAUCUAUGCUAUUGGAACUAUCUAGAAACCAAAUUUUAUAAUUUUUUAACUUUGUUUGUCAAGUGAACGAGGAGCUUCAAACUGAACGGCCGAAAAUAAAAAUCUCAUAAAAAACAGUGAUAAAGGACUCAAAUUUCAAAUCGGUAGUAUUGAUCUUACUAUUGAUGUUAAGUAGAAUUUUUUAUUAAAUUUUUAUGUAAUUUGGAUACUUUUACACCGUUGAACUUAAAAACAUGCCACAUCGGCCGUUAAAAUAGUUAUUUUUGAGACCUUUUGAUCGCUUGGUAAAUGAUGUCAAAAAAUUAUCAAAUUUGGUUUCUAGAUAGUUCCAAUAGGAAAGAUUAUAUUUAACGGAACCGAUCGUCGAAUCGGAUGUCCUAUCAUCGAAAACAACUUACAAGCACGAAGGUCUCCGUACUUUUGAAAGUACACCAGACGUACUCUCUCUCUCUCUCUCUAUAUAGAAUCCAGCUGCUAUCCUUCUAGGAGGAUAGAAUCCAGCUGCUAUCCUUUUAGGAGGAUAGGGACCUUCGUCCUAUCAAAUCGUUUUUGAUGAUAGGGAUUUCGAAUCAAUGAUCGGAACCGUUGAAAUUAAUCUAGAGUAUUUGAAUUAUCUAGGAACUAAAUUUUAUAUAUAUAUAAAUUUAUUUACAUAAUGAUCAAAGAAUUGCAAAAUUGAUAGUUUUUGACGGCCUAUAUGAGUCGUUUGCUUGUUUAAUGGUGUAGCAUAAUCCAAAUCGGUUGAAUUUUUGAUAGAAAAUUCUUUAUACUAUUUAGAUAAUGUUUAAUAACUCCGAACGUAAAUUGAGAAAGUUUAACCUCUGUUUUCAAAAGGUCAUUUGUUUUUGACCGUUCAUUUUUCGAUUUUUUGAUGGACUUGAUAAUAAUUUUUAAAAAUUACAAAAUUCUGUUUCUAAAUAUUUCUAAUAGUGUAGAUCAAUUUCAACAGUGCCGAAUAUCAAUUUGAAGUCUCAAUCAUUCAAAAUGACUUGAUAGGACAAAGCCUGCUAUCCUCUCAAGAGGAUAGUAGCCGGACUAUAUAUAUACACACACACACAUUGAAACUUCAUGUCCCAAUAAUUAAACUCACAUUACAAGUCUUUGGUAAAUUAUGUUGGAUCGUUGGCGCUAACCAUUAAUUCCAAAAGCUCGAGCUGUUAAAAAUACGCAAUAUAUUCACUUAAAGCGUACAGAUACAGUGCCCACGGAUCUCGAUUGUAAUUCGACCCAACCAGCCUCACAUCAUUUCGAACAUGACUCGGUCCAUCCAGCCUCACGUCAUUUCGAACAUGAUUCGGCCCAAUAUGGUCUCCUGCCACAGGAUAGGAUGCUGGUCCAUUUAAACCAACAAAUUAGUGGAGUGUUAUAUGUAUUACAUAACCAAAACUUCAAAGCAGUUCUGAUAUAAAAUGUAAAAUAUGAAAUUCAUAGUUGAGUUGGAGUGCUUUUAAAAGAACGGAAGCCUCCGUGUUUUUAAAUUCUUUUCGACGAUGAAACUUUCAAAUCGAUGACCGGUUUUCUUAAAUUCGAUCUACAAUAUUUAAAAUAUCUAGAGAAUAAAUUUUAUGAUUUUUCGAUAUCAUUUACCUAGUGAUCGAAAUGGUUCAAAAUCAACGAUAGGAAAUAAAAAUUUUACAAAAAAUGAUGAUAGUUUCUAAAAUGUUAGAUCAAAUGUUUAUAUCUUGUUUUAGAUAGGAUAAAAAGUUUUUUAAUCAAAACUUUAAUCUAUUUCGAUAUAUUUAUACUAUUGAACUUACAAACAGCUCAUAUCAACCAUUAAAAUUGUUGAUUUUGAACUCUCUCGAUCAUUAGAUAAGUGAUAUCAAAAAAUUGCAAAUAUUUUUUUUCUAUAUACUUUAAAUAUGGUUGGUCAAAUCUAAUGGAGUCAAUUAUUGAUUCAAAUGUUUCAUCAUUAAAAAUAAUUUAAAAGCAUGGACUCGAGACUUCUAAAUACAGUCCAGCUGAACUCAUAAAGAAAUAUCUACUAUAAUAUAUUCUAUGCAUAGAGUAGAGGAGGAACAGGCAUGUCAUGACUUUGUUCUCCAAUAGGCCUCUCUUUAAUUUUUAUGGGCCCUAAAAAUUAUGUAAAAAGGGUUGGAGACAAGCUCCUCAACUUUAUCUUUUGGAUCAACACUCUCAUUAUUAUUAUUUUUGUUUUCUGAGUUAAUUUAGUUAGUUUGGUUGAAAAUUUGUUAAAUUUAAUAGCUCUACAAGCUACUAGUGGGAAUUGUUACAGCUUUAUUUGAUAAACUAUGAUCAAAGCAACAGGACUACUACAAUUUGAUGAAAUAUCAAUAAAUUUAACUAAAACUUUUAAAUUUUAAAUAAUCAAAAGUGAAGUUGAAGGGACUUCUUUUCUUUUAAAAAAAAUGUCCUAUAUACAGUUUAGGGGGUCUCUGUACAUUUUUACCUACACAAUUUAAUGAGGGAGCAACACCCUAAAAUCUGGCCCUAACUCCAGCAAAAGAGCUUCCUUUUAAGUUGGCCCAUAACACUUGCUUUUCUCCUCAUAUUUUGGUAUGAAGUUUAUUCACAAAGUAUUUUGGUGAAAGAAAAGUAGGAACAUAUUUAGCUAAUAUAUUGUGUUUCUUAUUAACUUAGUCCUCCUUUCCAUGAUUCUCAUCAUUGUUGAGAUUUUUUUUAAAAAAAUUUUUAUACCACUUGGAGGAAAAAGAAGCAUGAAAUUAAGCAACACUAUGAAGACCAAAGUGGUGAGUUGUGGGGUUAAUUUAUCUAAAUCUUUCACUAAAUCCCUGAUGUUAAGGAACCAAAAGCCACCAUUAUGUACUCAACAAUUGCUUAAACUAUUCUUUUAUUAAAUCAAUCUCAUAAUUGAUAAGAGCUAGCUUAAAAUCUUUCUUCGGUCCAGAGAGUUAUGCGUUCAAUUUCUCGCAUCAAUCAUUUACUAAAUUCUCGUCGUUUACAUUUUUUCAUUAUCUUUUCUGUUAGUGCAUAUGAUAUGAAGGUUUACUUAAUCUUCGGUGGGGGAGAGGAAGAGAAAUUAUUAUUUCUGAGUUAUUUGAGAGCAGUAAUUUUCUCUCACAUCUUUACACUGAAAAUCUUGCAACCGAGACUCAAAACCCCAGCCCCUCCAACAUGCUAUAGAUCACUACAACAUCUAGGACUAAGAAACUACUAUUCCACACCUUAAUAAAGGAAUCCCUGGAAAGUGUCCUCCUCUUCCCUCCAAUUCCAAAUUCAAAUAGAUGGGUUUUCUGAUAUUCCAGACAAGUCUAUUCUUCUUGUGCUUGUGCUUGUGCUUCUGCUGCUGCUGGGAAUUGGCAGACAGCCUCGACGGGGGCUGGAGNCUUGUGCUUGUGCUUCUGCUGCUGCUGCUGCUGGGAAUUGGCAGACAGCCUCGACGAGGGCUGGAGAAUAGCCACAGCAACCUGCGCCGAGUCACAAAUCUCCGACACCAAUGGUACUGAUUCGAUUCACCAUUUCUCUCCACAUUUUGAUGAUGGACUGUACAUUGACUUUCAAUUUCUAAAUGUGGAGGGGGUGCUUCUGCUUGCGGAUACGGAGAGCUGGACGCACCCGGCAGACUGUACGGCAGGGAAACAGCAGGGCUGAGCACCGCGUUGUUCGGGAGGGGGAGCGCCUGCGGCGGCUGCUUUGAGGUGAGAUGUGUUGAUCGCCGCAUCCCCUACCGGUGCCUGCAGGGGAGCCCCUCCGUCGCCGUCACCGCGGUGGACUACUGCGCCCCCAACUACGGCCGCCCUUACGACGACGGCGGAUGGUGCAACUUCCCAAGAGAGCACUUUGACCUGUCACAAGCUGCUUUCCUGCGAAUUGCUAGCAGAAAAGCUGAUUUCAUACAUGUCCAUUACAGGAGGUAUCUCUCUCUAUAACACUCAAAAUAAGUUGUAAAACAGAUUCCAAGAACUAAUCCGAAGGGUGGGUUACUGCUGUGUUCUUGAUGCAGGGUGAUCUGCGAAAGAGAGGGCGGGAUCAGAUUCACCAUAGCAGGGAGCUCCUACUUCCACCAAGUUCUCAUCACAAACACGGGCUCCGACGGGUUUGUCACGGCUGUCAAGGUGAAAGGGUCGAGAACAGGCUGGAUUCCCAUGGCCAGAAACUGGGGCCAGAACUGGCAGUGCGAUACCGACCUCCGAGGCCAGCCGCUGUCUUUUGAAGUAACCGACAGCGAGGGCAGAACUCUCACAUCCUACAACGUCGCCCCGUCCGACUGGCGGUACGGACAGACAUUCGAAGGAAAACAGUUCGACUAAAACAUUAACACAUCAACAUGGACGGACACACCUGCAAUGAAUAUCAGUUCUAAUCGAAGAAAAAGGAGAAUCCGGUGAUCGAAUUUGCCACACGACAUGUGCAAUGCAAAAGAGUGUUGUAGACUGUUUUGGUACAAUAUAUGUCUGUAUUUAAAGUGAAUUGACCACAGCACAAAUUCUAUCAUAGCACUGCAACUGUUACAUUCAGCAACACCAGAAAAUAACCAUAUAUUUCCCUCCUACUAGUCUCCUGAAUAGGCAUUAUUAGCUUAGAACCUGUACUGAGAAUAUUAUGCUUUGAAGAAUCCCACAAUCACCAAGCGAAUGCCCUUAUUUACCCAGAGGUCAUGCAGAGUGAACAGUUUCUCUACGAAAACGAGCAUAGCAAGUGUUUUCUAUUGACAAAAAGACAUUAGAUUUUAAACUGCCAAAAUGGGCUUAAUUAUCAUACAACUUUCCUCCUACGUGUGAUGUAAGAUACAGUCAAAACAAAAGGCCGGCGUGUCACUAUUUACAAAGUUACAUCCAAAGAAAAAAAGAACCUGUUUGAUGAUACCUUCAUCAAUCAGCGAAACCCUUAAAUUCUUGGGGCUCCAAUCAGUCACAUGCCUCCAAUACAAUUGAUUGAUGUCCGAGUCCGAGACUUCAACCUUUGAUCGUAUUCAGAGACAUCUGUCACCCGUGCUUCAGAAUAAAAAAAGAAAAAGAAAAAGAAGAGACAUCAGUAACAGUAGUUAAAAACCAUCUUGUUUCUAAAAUGCUGCCACAAAACACACGCACACACACACAGAGAAAAGGAAUUUAUCUGCAAGCCAUGUACAGUUUCUGAUACAAGAAGGAGGCAGAAAUAUGUGGAAACAAAAUGAGGUUGCGGGAAAUGGCCUCCUACCUAUACAAUUAUCACUUGCAUGAAAAUCUUCACCCAGAGCAGCAUGAUACAAAACAAGGUUGAUUAGUUCCACAACAAGGAAAGUCAACAGUCGGAGACAAAGUAGAUACACAUAACAUUAUUUCCAGGAAAUAAGUAAUCCAAGAGGAAAUGUGUGCUUUAAAACAUAUCUAUCAUGUUACCACGAGCAUCCGUAUCAUGAACUAAAAGGGAGAGACAUAUGUUACCGUACUAUGUUAUGACUUCUUACAACUCCUUGCAGGUCCUCUUCUAAGCCUUUUCAAAGGAGGCCGUUGAAUUUCAUCAUCAGCUUGAGAAGCAUCCUCUCCAAGUUCAUCUAAAGUCAUACAGUUGAUAGCCAAAAGCAAUAGGCAUGAACACAAAGUAGUAAACAACUGAAAAGCAAAAUGAUUUCUAAGAUAAGACAGUAAUGUUAACCCACCAGGAAAAUGUCUUCCUAAAAGAUGAAGGUUGUGCUUUUUGAUGGCUAACAAACAACGUACAUAAAAAUUGUAUUCGGUAGCCAAUUCAGAACUAGCACCUUGACUUCACAGUUUAUCUUUAAUCAUUUUUUGUAGGAAGUUCAGCCAGUGAAAAUAUACUGAACAAUGUUGAAGUUUCUAUAACAAGUCAGCUUCUUUUUUUCUUUUUUCUUUUUUUGAGUAAUACCGUCUACACAAUAACUACCUAUCUUGAUCUACAGUAUAGUUUCAAACUCUUGUACGUCUUUCAACAAAAUUAAUGAGAGCUUAAAGAUACCCCUACCUCAAAACCUGACCCUAGAUAAUGGACAAGAAAAACAUUUCUUGUUUUAACCUGAAAUAUACCUGAAACUUUAACCUGACACAAAAUGACUCAAAACCAUAGUAAACUGAACCUAAACAAAAGAAAUUAUUGGCUGCAAGAACUUUGAGCUUGAAGGAUUUGGUUCAGUUUAGAUAUGGUAGUGGCUAGUUGUUCUGAAGCUGCUAUACUAUGUUCCAUUUACAUCUCUGUAGUUUUCACGUUUCUUGGUGGAUAAAAUACUAUUAGGGUCUGGAACGAGUAUAAAUUGCAAAUAGGGUGCUCUACGUUAAUGCUUCUUUGGGUCUCUCUUUCUUGUACCUUUCCUUCCACAAAGGUCAGUUAGAAGGUUUGCCAAAUUCCCCAUCUAGAGAAGUGGUUUCUCUUAAGAAAAUAAAUAAGCAGCUAAACAAAUCAACAUCUCCAACAGAAAACAACUUGAACCAGAAUGACUCGAUAGGUAAAAAAACCUGACUUGAAUCGACUAGAGCACAAUAGCCAACCCCAAAAUGAUCCAAGCUAAAACAUAGGAAAGCCACCCGAUUGCCACCUCUAGUUAUAGAAUUUAGAAAACUUGGGAGCAUAAAGAGGAUAUAUGAAACAAUAUUUGUCUUAGAAUACACAAAUCAAAGAUGAAUGCUGGAAUCACAGUCCAAAGUACUGUUGCCGACUUCUUCUAACAUGUUGAACAAAAAGGAUCAGGCUGAUCUUUCUGUAUGAUCCUUGCAAAAAAUUAACAUGCUUACCAUCUGAGAUUUCAUUGAAUUUUGUUGUACUUGCAGAUUGCUUCUCCCUAUCAGCAACCAUGACCGCACAUGAUCUCUUCUUUUUCUGAGCAUUCUGAAAGAAAACAAAGCAAUUGAGAUGUCCAAAUUGCUCAGCCUUUAACACAGAGAAAAUUGAUAAUAUUAUCAUUGCAAAGCAGUGAAAUUGUGCAUUUGUCCUUAAAAUGCUUCAAUUAUCAAAAACAUCCAUCUAAAUUUUCAAAAUUUUCAAAUUCAACCAUUUUCAUCAUUUUUCAUUUUAGAGUUUCACCAACAUUUUGCUUCAUAAUUUAUGUGUUCUCUCUCAUGUCAUUUUACACAAACCCUAUAUACUCAACCCCUAAAAUAAAUCUUAAAGAAACAUUUUCUGAAGGGUGAAAAACUAAAAACUAGCAAUCAACUGACGGUAGUCAACUAGUGGGGACAAAUCAGCAACAUUUCAAACGUACAGCAAUUUUGACUUAAGCAAUUUCGUAGGGAGAAAAAGAAACUCCCAAAUUUUGUAGGGUCAUAUCUAUGCAUUUGCACUGAAGUUAAAAUACACUGGUAUCAUUGUGCUUCACCUUUAAUAUGACUUCUUGCUGAGUGGCAGUCUGCUCUGUGUAACCAGAUCGCUUUGCAGACACCGUGAUUAUGCCGUGCCCCAUUUGUUGCUCUGGAGUCUCACAUUUACCGUUAAAAGGUGACAUGUAACAAAACCUGACAAUUAUAGCAGUGGAUAGCAACUUCAUAAUACACAAGAGCACAAAAGAAAGAGGACAGCUACACAGGAUGAAAACACCAGCAACGUGAUAAUAAAACAUCCUUAUUUUGUUCCAACGAUUCCUUUUUUAUCUACUGAUACAAAAAUUGAUUCUCUACUUAAAAUUCUCGAGGUCAACAUUUCUCAAUAAAAAGCAACAAAAUGAUAAAAUAAGAGUACAAAGAGGAUUUCUAAGCAUAAUCAUUUAAGAUAUGUUACCAAGAUUGCAACUUGGAAGCUCUUAGUCAAAGAAUGAAUGUGCAGUAAAAAUACAACAAUUCUUGCCGUGUCCAAAACCACAUUGGGAGGAGCCUUUGAGCAUUAGGUUAAAUUUUUAAAUGUUGACCCUCAUAAGUGCUAAGCUGGGAGAAAAGAGAGGUCAAACCUAGAGAAGAUAGGUUUGAGGUACAAGAAAAUUAAAAACAGUGAGGAAACAUUUCAAAGUAGGAGUAAUAACAGCGUUAUAUCUACCAAACUAAUUUCUACAUUUCUGAAUUUUGCAGUUUUUUUUACUUCUCCCCUGAAUCGUAGACUUGAUGACAAAUUAGUAAUGGUGAUAUAUAAGAUUAUUAAGUAAGGGGUGUCAAACAAAAUGUAUUGAGUUCAUCAAAUACACUUGAAUCCAUGCCUUGUGAUCUACCAGACAAAACUAAAUCAUCUUCGCAAGCAUUGCCACAACACAUAUGUGGUGAAAGUAAGAAAGAAAUAUGGUAAUAUGGCAUACCAUUCCAGAGGCAAGUUAUCACUGUUGAAACUCUUGGUCAAUAUCCUCCAUUUCCGGCAUUUACUACACUGUACCCACUCAUGAUCUGGCAUAUAGCGUUCAUUCCCCUUUUUCUGAAGUAAUGAUGAUUCAUCAGAACGAAGUUGAACUGAUUUUAGUAAUGCAAUCAAAUCUAAAGUUUAAACCUGACGGUUAUUAGCAAUAUCAGUUAACAAUGAAUAUCUACAGAUGAACCCCACAAUAGCAAGCCUUCUCCAUACAGUUUAACCUAACUAUACCAGCACUUCUCUUUUAUAGCAAGAGCUGUUGAUUCGUGCAGGUAACCCAAGCUAGAUUGGCCUCAAAAGGCCCCUGGGCGCAUGCACCUCUUCUACAGGUGAGUAAUGUGGCAAUCACAUUUAGAGUCAAUUCGUAGUCAAGCAGAUAUAGUUUAAUAAAUUAAACAAUUUUCUGUAUCAAAAAUACAGUCAGAAUAUAAAGGAAUUCUCCUGAAUCAACGUCAAGUUUGUUUGUGCAUGGAACGACAUUGCAAGGAUCUCAUGAUCUAAACUGUAGCUUUAAUACCAAAUUGGAUAGGAUUAAAGCACCUACACACUCCUCCCUGCUCCAAGGGGAAGAGGAACCUCCUCUUCUCUGUUUUGCCUAUGGUAGAAGCCGGUAAGGAAAAACUCCUCUAUUGACUACAAACUUUACUGGAUGAUUAUUGCAAUACCUAAUUUGUUCAACAACAUUUCAUAUAGAUAUGCACAAAAGACGUGCCAACAAGUGUUCAAAAUUCUAUUGAAAGAAAAAAAGAGAAAACAACAACAAUAAGAACUUGUAAGCUAUCAUUUUUCAAUUAGGCAAUUCAUGAAAUAUCAAAUCUUUUGUUCUGAAUGCUAAGAUUAUUGUUCUUUCUCACUACGUUAUUGAGCUCUUUUUUUUCCAAGGAAAAUCCAAUGUAUCUGCAUUGAGUAAAAACUACUCACUUCCUAAUUGAGGAAAAUCCAAUGUAGCUAAGAUUACAAUAAGAACUUGUGAGCUAUCAUUUUUUCAAUUAGGCAGUACUACCUCUAUUUUUUGAGAGAGAAAGGUAGCAUGCUACCCACUUCGUUUAUUUCUCUAAAUAGGCAGUACUACUUCCUGAUUGAGUAGUUUUUAUAAAGCAAAAUCCAAUGCAGUUGGAAGAGGCACUUAGAACUUGUAUGAAAGGGGAAGACAAAGCAUAAUUGAUCUAGAAUGACUAAUCUAGAAAACAUAAACACUAUUAAAAAUAUCAACAAGCUGAAUGCAGGUUUUCUCUCUCUUCAAAACUGAGUUGGUUUGACUCACAGAAGAUUGUCCUGAUAGUAACUACCAUAGUCAAAAUAAAAGUGCCGAAUCAAAAUCUCGGUAUUGAAUGCUAAGAAAUUUCACUAUCUUAAUAGCAAUUUUCAAGGAAAGAUGUUACUAUACAAAUAAGUGAAAUAAUUCAAUGCUCAAGAAAUUAAAGAUGGAUAUCCAUAUCUCAGUGCAAGAUAGUUUGAAAUCUUACCAAACCAAGGGGUUCAUAGUGUUUAUCCCAAUAUUCAUCUGCCACGCGGCCCAACCAUUUUUCCAGUUCAGCAUAUGCUUCACAAUCUUGAAAUCCUUGUUUGCUAUUAAGCACCCACACAUUGCCAUUUUCAUCAUCCUGGCAGAAAGUACCAAAAAGCUGAUAUUAAUUAACUAAAAGAUAGAGAAGAAGUAAGGUCAACAGCCAGCUUAUCAAGAAAGCACUUAAAGUGUUCAUGCAAUAAGACUGGGCUCAGAAAGGGAAUUUCACACGUUGAAAUCAUACCAUUAAAUUUGUCACAUCUAUAACUCCAAUGACUCCCCUUCCCAUGUCUGCAUUAUGUAUCUGGCCCCCUACUCGCUUGUAAGCCUACAAGGAGAGACAAAUCGAAUAAUAAUCAAAACUAUUAUAGGAAGCACAAGCAGUCAGUAUAAUGUAAGAAAAGUAAUUCUUCAGAAUAAUGCACGAAGCUAGAAGCACAACUUAUCCAUAAUGUGCACAGAAGCUGAUAACACUAGUUAAAUCUAACUCAAACAUAGAAUACUACAUUCAGGAAUUAGAGGCCCACCGGCUUUGGUGCUGAACAGCAGAGUCCCAAAUGAAAAGUUUGACAAAAUAUGAAGAAUACAUGUAGAAGAAGGUUUCCAAAUUUCAAAAUAUAGGAAAAAGAAUUCAAUAAAUAGCAAAUUCUAGUUUCAAGACAAUUCAACUAGUCUAGGAUCUAGAUAAUAGUUAAUGGUAUGUUUCUUCAAUAUCAAUGUCCUAACUUUAAUUUCAACUCAGAAGUAUUGUCAACCACAAUCUAUAUAUAGUAGCCCACUGUUACCAUAAAUACGAAAAUGUGCGCAUGCAUGCAUUUGCCAGCAUACGCACAUCAAUAUAGUUUUCACUGCGAACCAAAAAAGCCAAUCCUGGCAGAACAUGUUUGAAGGCAAGCGGCUUUUUCCAUUUAGUAGUUUCCCCUCAUAUCAUAUUGAUCUGCAUUUUUUAAUAUGAUUUAUCCCUUCAACAAAACUGAGAUAUGCUAUUUGUUUCAAUUUUCUUGCUGCAGUAUCAUUAUUUUCUAUGGAAUAUAAACUUUUUUCUAGUUUGCACUUAUUUUUAGGAGAAACAUAAUGCACUCAUAUAAACUAUAAAGGUUGUUACAUUAAGAACAGGAAAGAGAAAAAUAUGUAGCAUUGUAAAUAGAGUGCACUUAUUGGCCACAAAGAUGUACUCACCUCAAUCAAGCGGCCAUGCCAAUAGAGAAAUAUUCCACAAUUCAUUCGUUGCCAUUCAAUAUUGCUUCUUCCUAGUGUUAAUUGAAUAGCUUUGCCCAUUACAUCACCAGAUAUUAUAGCAGUUUUAUUUAGUGAUUUGGCCAAAGGUUGGCAUUUCACCUGGCAGAGGGGGAAGAAAUCAAGUAAAUAAAACAAAAAACGGGAAGUUUACUGAAUGGAUAAUAGAAAGAAGAAUAGUAGGACCACUUACCAGAGAACCUUGGACAUAAAUCUUCAUUCGAGGAUCUAAGAAAAUGACUUCCAAGUACAACCGAAGAGAAUAGUCCAACGGUACCUAUAGACCCCACAAGAGGUGACAUAGAGAUAAGUUCAUUGCAAUUGCUAAGACAAAAAAAAAGAGUAAAAUGAACAAAAAAAUUGAAAGAAAUAAAAGAUGAAAUCACAUUCUUCUAUAGGAAAAUCUGAAUUUACAUGUUUAGAUUCGGAUAUGUAAUACAAUUAGAUCAAGAGGAGGGAAAAGGAAAAUACGGCAUUACACAUUACGCACGAGCUUGCUUCUACAUGUAUAUGGAAAAGCAGGGGGUUCAAGCCAAUUAAUAAAAUUAAUUGAUGAUUCCAUACUUUUCAUACUAACACAGUAAGAAGAAAUCAACCAAGACAAAGCAAAAGUUCAUGAUAAUGCGGAUUACCUUCUGGCUUACUUGCCCCGGGCGUGAUCUUACUCUCCUAGAACGAAUUAAUAUGUCACCACUGGCAGAUGUAUUUUGGGACCAUUCAAGACUAUAAUCAGAGCCCCAUUUAUCCAAGUUCCAUAUGUAUAUUUGCGUCCCAGUUCCCAUUUCACCAAAUAGUCCAAGUUUCUCACCAAUAAAAUAUUCAUUGAAAGGUGAGAAUUCCUUAAUAGCCUUCAAACUAAUUUCUGUGGAGACUUCUGACUGGACACUUAAAUCCACUUCCAUGAACUGGCACUGCUUAGAAUAUGUGAUUACAGGGAUUUCAAGAUUCUGCACCAAUUUGAAACAUCUUACUUGUUUAGUACAAUUACAAAGGAAACAAAUCAAGUAUUAAUUGCAGACUAAAUAACCAUGGCUAGAAUAGAAGAAGACAUAAUUUACUUCUUUGCUUUCAUUAUAAGAUUGAGAUAACAAGGCUACAGAUCUGGAGUUGGAAGUUUGGGUAAGAACAAGUGCAUCUCUUCCAAGUUUCAUAGCCCCAGUCUGCAAGGAAACAAAACAAGUCAAAAUUACCGAAGCAAGAAAGCUGUGCCAUCUAUAGCUUCCAUUAUUAUUAACAUAAUAACUCGAAACUUCUAGUUGAAAAUCAAUGUUGAAGACAACACAGGUCAAUCUAGAUUUUUCAUUACAAUAUUGGAGAUAAGAAUACAUAUGCCAAGCAAGCUAAUACUCAGAUUUGCAAGAUGGAGGUUAUAUUCCUCCCCUGCAAAAGGCAGCACAUAAACUACAUAAUAGCUGUUAGAAAAGGCAAUUUUAAAUAAGCUUAUUUACCUUAAAUCCAAUGCCAAAUCUUCCAAUACGAUCCUGUUCAUCUUCAUUUGGCUGUUUGUGACCAAAAGAAAGCAUUCUCAUGAUUUCAGUAUGAGACAUGCCAUGUCCAUCAUCAAUGACUGAUAAUACAGGUACUCUCUUUCCUUCCUUCUUGGAAUAUAGAGACUCAAUAGAAAUGUCCAACCUUGAGAAAGAGAGAACCAUACACUUAAUGAGCAAUAGCAAAAUACAUGUCAGACAUCAGCAAGGGAAAAAGGUCGAAACUUCCUAAGAUGAGGACAGUUAUAGUGACUUCUCAAGACGACAUACUUACCAUAGAUGCACUAAAUAUAAAAAAAAAGGUAUGAAGAAAUCUAGAAAAUAUGCCAAGCAGCAAAACAGUUCUUUAUUCGCAUAUAGUCAAAUCAAAUGUGGAUAAAUUGACCAACACUCAUCAAAGUCAACUGACAUUGGGAAGUUUGGCAGAAGCAGAAUACUGACUGCUUCAUUUUCCAAGCAAGGACAGCACCAAAAGCACUUUCAGUCAAAUCUUUAAACCUCAAUAUGAUGGACAGAAAGCAUUUCAGUUAAUGAGUUAAAAGGAGUUACACAAAAGAGACUAUAGGGUUGAAAGAAUCACGAUCAUCUAUUUCUCAAAAAAAAUGAACAAGAGUAGCGACAGGCAUAUAAAUACGAAAAUGGAACAAAAGGCUUCAUCAUCACUUAAAAAAUAGAAAAUAUACUAAAUUGUUGACACAAAACAAAACGACCAUUUUAGCAUGAUUUCUGAGAUAAAUGGAAGAGGCUGUAAAAGCAGUGCACAAAAUACUUCCACAAUCCACUAGGAGCAGUUAACUAUAAGGAUAAGCAAUUGCUGGACAAAAAUUUGGCAAUGAAUUGUAAAACAGAAGCACACAAACAGGCAUCAGAUCUUUAGCUUGUGCAAAAGACAAACUACAGCUAUACCUGGAUGCAUCAGCAUCCCUGGAGUUGUCAACGAGCUCAGCUAUUGCUCCAAAAAUCCAUCCAGCAUGAGUCUGACUGAGAGUUCUUAGGUAACUUGGAUCCGUCUUGACAAAAUUUCUAUUAACAACAUCUGCCCUUUUUACUGAUUUUGGAUGAGAAGUGCUAGGAGCAUCUUCUACAGAUUCACAAGGAGAGGGUUUUCUGGGUGCCUGGUGAAGUACAUUCAUAGAAUAAGGAACAUCACCGAUUCGAGACAUAUUUAAAAAUCCAUUAUCAACAAUCUCUUCUCCCAAAUGAUGUCUAGAAUCUCUACGGUGCAUGACCACCUCUGGUGGGGAAGGCAAUUUUAUUGGAGAGCGGUCAGCAUGUCUUAUUUGUUCUUUUCUGCUAGAAGUUUGAAUGAAGUUUCUGGUACAGAUCCUACGAUCAUUAUGCAGCUGACCUGAGAUUUUAAGGUCAAAAAAACAAAUUGUUUACCAUUUGUUUCACUUCCACAAGUUGCAUUCCAAUUCAUUUUAAAAAAUCAACAAAAAGACAUGGACAUAUCAGCAACUUAUGUGACGAAAAAAUGUAAACUAUUAACUGUGAAGAAAGGAUACGAUUCAAAACUCCUACCAAGAAAAUCACCAAAAGCCCCCGAGCAACAGAAAUACAAUGGCAAGGGUACAAGUUAUAAUUAUGAUACAAACAAAAUUAAACUGGUAACAAGUUUUAUACAACAAAAGCACUUAUACAGGUGGAGUGAGAUAAGCCAAUACAGGAAUUCUUGCUCGAUUUUCAAACAGACUCUGCUUGAUUUUCAAACAGACAGCCAAUCAUCACAGGCACUUUGCAGAAAGUACUAUUACCUGAUGUUCCUGUGUUCUGUUGAUUACAUACGAGACCUGGCUUUUCUGUCUGAUAUAAAAUUAUAGCAUGUGAAAAUUCAGGGAAUUCAUCAGGAGCAAGUAUGUAAAACCUGCAGUACUCAGAACUCACAAGCCCAGCCUUCAUAAAAUAAAAUUGCAAACAUUAAAAGAAACUUGAGGAACUACAAAAAAAUAAUAAUGAACUGCAAACUUUAAAAAUUCCUGUUCAUGGAAAAGAAAACUCACCCUUUGAUGCUUCCAAAGAAAAUUCAGAAAAGCUCCCCACUCAUAGGACUGGUGAGAAUUUUCAGGGUCUGGAUAUAACCGGAAAUUUGGAAAUCUCCCGUUACUAAGUAUCUCGCUUGGUCUAAAUUUCGUUAUAGACCAAGUCAAUGGGCUGCAGAAGCAAUAAGAAAUCAGCAACUGCUGUGUCAAAUAUAUCACAGAAUUGUUUCAACAACGAAAAGUGUAUUGUUAGUCUGUCUCUCUACUAGAAUAUGUAAACUUUGCUAUCAUAUUUCUUGAUACAGUGACCAAUAACAAACGUAGUUACAGCAAUACCGUACAAAGUCAGCUACAGCAUCAAGAGAUUCCUUUAACAAGGAGUGCACUGAUGCAAAUUGUCACAUAAAGCAUGGAACAAUUUGAUACAACAAGAUUCAUGUCAUAGAGGCAAACAAAAGGUCUUAUGCAGAAUAAAAAUAAACUAAAAUCAGCAAAACGUACACAUCAAAUGGAAGAUUGAAAGACUUUGUGCGGCAAAUGGGCUUGUUAUCUUUCUGGAGCAAAAUAUAUCGCAUAGGCCCAUCUACAAAACAAGCAUAUAACAAUUUAAACUCACCAGAUAGCAAACUCCAUAGUUUCCUAGAAAUCAAAUAAAAUGAGAUAAGCAGAGGAAUCCAAGGAACCACGAAGAGUAACAAAUACUCUCACCUUCGGAAAGAGGGGGCUCAUUUAAGUUCAACAUUCUGCUCAUGCUUUCACCUGCGACACCAAAUAAAGCAUCGAAUCAGUGUCUUAUAGGAUUAGAAACCGCAAAUAAGAUGAUCUUAAGUUUUGAGUGGUGUUUAAAAUGGGCCCUUCAAAAGCAUGUCUAGCACUAAAAGGUGCAUUGCUUUAAGCAUGGUGCAACCAAGCUCAUUCUUUGAAAUGAUAGGAUAAUAAUGGGGCUCAACACUAUAUUGGGAGCUCAUCCUCCAAAAACCAUAGAACUGUAACCGAAUGACACAAUGAGAACAAAUAGAACAGAUUGGAGCCUGUAAACCAAGUUGUAAAUCAAAAUUUUGCAUAUUUGAGCACUACGCAUCUUCUCAACUUGAAUAUGAACAAAUGCACUUUGAAUCUAAUUAAUGUCAACAAGCUCGUAAUUGAUAUCCUUAAGAAAAGCUUCCAAUGGACUCCUGAUUAACCAAUUUCACUCAGUAUGCAAUUUGGAGAAAGUGGGGAAUUACUAAAUCAGUCACCCUCUACUCGAGUCUCGAGCCACUAUCAUGGUCGGUUCUACAGGAAAGUCCAAUAGGGACAGACAAUUACUAUUAUUUUUAUUAAAGAAAUCUUUUAUUCCUCAUAUUAAGACAUAAGACGUAGGAUCCUUUCCUUUUGGGUCAAAGAAUAGAUCUUCAAGAUAGCACUAAUCUUCUUUCCUUUACAGGAGUUAAAAAGAGUUAACAACAUUAAAAAAAUAUACAAUGGGAUUUGAUAGGACCACUGUUAUAAAGUUCUCAAAUUUUCUGAAAAAUUUCAAAUAGUAACAAACUUUGGCUUCAGAAAAAUAUUUUCCAAAUCAUUUUCCAGUCCAAAAUUAUUGUAAUCACAAGGAAAUAUAAAUAUACUAUACAUUAUAUAUUACUAGUAAAAAAGUUAAGAAUUAUCUGUUGCUAAAUUGAUUCUGCAUUAUCUUUCUAACCUUUCUAUAAUCUAAAAACGUAAGGAGAUUACAUAAUAACAUAAUAAAUUUUUACAUACUUAGUUUUCAGUAAUAUAUAGCUGAGUCUUCUUCUAAGAAACAUGAAUGCUUGGAAAAUGUUGCCAUGUCUAAAUUGUGUAAUAUUAGACAUAUGUCCUAGCCGAACACUAUAGAUUACAUGUCCGUCAACUGUCCACUGUGUCCACUAUUAUCAUUUCACUUGUUGUGAGACCAACAUGCGUCCGUUGCAUGUCCCUCAUAAUCGUGCAUAUCUAUCUAUAUUUAGAACUUGUUGAUUACAUGUCUCAUAUACAAAAAAUGAAAAAAAAAUUGUAACAUUACAUGUUGUCGAUUUUCCACUCCACUUUAUAUAGUGUUUUAUGUGAGAGUUAACAUAAAUAUUCUAGUUGUUAUACAUGGCUAAUUCUUUGAAUCAAAUACAUGUUUUAAAUUCUCAAUAAUUAUAGUUAUUAACAUUCAACAUUAUACAUCUGCCAAUCAAGGACGAUUGAUAGAUUUCUAUAGGUGAAGAUAUUAUCAUGGAAUUAUUAUUUUCUAUUUUAGGAACACAAUGAGAAUGCAUUAAUUUGCAUAUUUCCUAAUUAUUAUUACAUUUAACAUAGUUUUAAAAGUAGUCUAUGUGGCCGCAUAUGCGAUUCACUGACUUAAACACACUUCACAUCGAUAUGCGGCAAUAUAUGCAGUUAGUCCGCAUAUUGGGCCGCAUAUUAGCAGCGUAAUAUUAUUUAUUGUAUGUUUUUUUAUUUCUUUAGCAUAAUUAGUGUAAUACUGUUAGCUAUCUCUUUCUUGACUUCCGUCUGGCAAUUUUGUGAUGCUAUUUCAUAGUCUAUAUUUGACAGUACGCCUUAUAUUUUAGCUAAGUUAUAAUGCAUUCAUACAAUCCUAAGUACGUAAGUUGAGUACUACAUAUUACUUUAAGCUAUAUACAUUUUUCAUUAAUUUUAAUGGCUAAAUGCAUAUGCACCUCAAACCGCAUGUGCGCUAUGCAAUCAGUCAACCGCCUGCAUGUCGUGCAUGGUGCUUUUUGAAACUUUGGCAUUUAUUUGUCAUGGGCCUUGGUAUUCCAAAAUUGCCGAGUCGCCAUGCUCAAAAUCAUGUUGUAUCCCGUGUCCUGAAGAAGUGUCACCUAGGUUUAACUAACCAACUACUUUUGAACUUUUUUCGGAUUCACCAAGCUUCUACCAAAUUUCAAACUUUCUAGCUUGGCCAAUCUUUUUCUUGAAUGUUGAACUUGUAAUUACAAGAGAUAGCAUGAUAGGAGAUUUAAUAGUCCUAUUAUGUUUAGAAAACAGCAUAGAGUGUAACAACCUAGCCCAUUAGCACUAGUAACUUGUGGUUUGACCCCCUUGUGGUUUAACUCUUUCUCACUUUAAUACCCUAUGGUUUAAAGUGUAUCAAGUUAGUACCCUGUGGUUUUGCACUUUUUCACUUUAGUACCCUAUGGUUUAAAGUGUAUCAAUUUAGUACUCUGUGGUUUCGCAUUUUCUCACUUUAGUACCCUGUGGUUUCGCACUUUCUCACUUUAGUACCCUGUGGUUUAAAAACCACAUGGUACUAACUUGAUAAAAAAAAUAAAACCACAGGGUACUAACUUGAUAUAAAAACAAAACCACAGGGUACUAACUUGAUACACUUUAAACCACAGGGUACUAAAGUGAGAAAGUGCGAAACCACAGGAUACUAACUUGAUACACUUUAAACCAUAGGGUACUAAAAUGAAAAAGUGCGAAACCACAGGGGGGGUUUUUGAAGUUUUCCCUAUUCUUAUUUACAAUUCCUUUCCCAUUCAACGUAGAACUAUUGGGGCAUGACAUAAAGCGCAUAUGAAUAAAACUUUGCAACCCUCUCUUAUUAGAUGGUCUUAAAAAAAGAGUCUUAGUUUCUCUAUCUCUCUAUCAGUUUUUCCUUUCCUCUUUUUUCUCAUUAAAUAUUAGCAGCCUCUCCUUUUUCUCUUAAUUUUUCAUUCAUGUUUCCACUGCAAUUACUUAAAUUUGUUCACUCAUUCACAAUGUACAACCAUUCCAUCACCCUCCCCCAUUCUCCCUAGCCAAUAAUCGGUUCCUACUUCGGAAAAAUGCUAUCAAAAUAUCCUAUAUGAGAAUUUUGAAAAAAAUUACUACAGAAAGAGACAAUUUUUUCCGAGCAGCAUUUGCAACUCUUUCUUACUUCCACUGCAAGUCUCAAAAAAGAUGCCAACUUCACGAAACUUAUCAUCUAUAACUUCCAAAUUCAACUUGUGUGUUUUAUAAUCCUUUCAUAUUCCACCUUUUCUAGCAACUCCACAAGUGCAUAUCAACAUUCUCGUAUUGGCGACACUCAAUUUGCACACACAAACUGACCUCGAAAUCCUCAGCAUCCUCGAUGUUCGACCGAGCCCGAUCACCAACCACCGCUAGUGAAACAGUAAACGGAGGAGCAAACAAACAUCUUAAAGAGUGAUCAAUGUAUGUUAUGUUGCAGCAAUUACGUAAUACAAAAUAAUUAAAGCAACGAUCACAAGGUCCUAAACCCUAAGUCUUAAACCCUAAAUUACUCUAUUCAAGAAGAGGAACACUAUAAAACCCUCACCAAAUUGUGAGAAAAACCCCACAAAACCCCACAAAAAAAAACAAACGUAAGAACGCAUCAAAACAUCGUUCAAGUUCAUUAUCUGCACUCUUUUGAAUCAAAACCCUAGAAAACUUCUCCUUUAUCACAUUUUCCAAGGGGAAAAAAAAAACCUAGAAAUUUUCUGGAAAUAAAAAAAAAAGUGAAACCCAAAAGUGUCCUUUAAUCGCCUCAAUAAAAAAUAAAAAAUAAUUAGUGUAAGUAAAAAAUAAUGAGAGAAAUGGAUAGCGUGCUAUCUUUUUUUUUAAAUAAAAAAUAAAAAAUAAAGAAGUAAAAUCCAAACUCAAAACACAAAACAGGAUAAAUAAGAAAGAGAUUAAAAAGAAGAAGAAAAAGGAGAGAUGUAGAUUAAGAAAAUAUAUAAAAAUACCUAGAACGAAUUGAAUCGGAGACGAGGGCUUCGCUUCUCUUUUUUUUUUUUUUGAACUAUUACAACAGUUUAUAGUAAAUAGUGGAGACGCGGGAUGAUGAUAGGAGCAGUGAAUUUACUAUUUUACCCUCGCGUCGAGCCUAUAAUUACGAGAAAAACCACGCCGGGGCCCACACAAUUGGCCCCACCGACCCCACAAAAUCGAAUCACCGAAGAGGCUGCGCUCCCGUCCGCAUAGAAGGUUUUGUAGGACGAUGAAACGGAGGGCGUCGUACGAAAUCACGAUGAUCGGACGGUGGAUAUUGCGUGCGCGUAGAGAGAAGUGUAUGCGCGCGUGCGUUUUAAGGGAUUACUUGAUUUCGUUUUGUAUGCGGGUCUUUUCAUGUUGAAAAUCAUUUUUCAUAGUUUAUAAAUUUUAAAAAUAUAUAUAAUAUAAAAUAUGCACAAAAAGAUUUAGGGCUUUUUUUGCAAAUAGCCCCCUGAAAAAUUUUAUUUGCGCAAAUAGUCCCAUCUAAAAAUUAUUUGCAAAAAUGGCCCUGACCCUGCCACGCCAGCGCCACGUCAGCGCCACGCGGGCAGGGCCUGGGCCAGGUGGCUAAGUUGAACACGGCAAUUGGUUCACCGUGUUUAGACAGGGUGAACCAAUCACCGUGUUCAUUGUGUUAUCCCGCCCGCGGCGGGGUGUUAGUAUGACAUUAGACACGGUGAUUCGUUCACCGUGUCUAAACACGGUGAACUGUUCACUGCGUUUAGACACGGUUAACCAUUCACCGUGUCUAAUUUAUCACACAACCUCACGCGGGUGCGAGGUAAUGCAUAGAACACGGCGGCGGGGUAAUGUAUAGAACACGGCGAUUGGUUCUGUAAUGCAUUGCACCGUGUCUGAACACGGUGAUUGGUUCACCGCGUUUAGACACGGUGAACCAUUCACCGUGUUCUUUUUGAACACAACCCCCUCCCCCCGAACUCUGUGUGUCUCGAUCUCUCUCUCUCUCUCUCGAUUUCUCUCUCUCUCGCUCUCUUCCUCUUCCUCUUGCUCUCUCUCGCUCUCUCUGGCCGACGCCGCCGCCGACGCCGCCGCCGACGCCGCCGCCGCCCCGCCCUUUGUUGCCCGAGGUAGCUUCCUUCCUCGUUCUCUCUAGCGCUAGAGUAUUUUAGCUCAACUCUCUCUCUCUCUCUCUCUCUCUCUCUCUCGCUCGCUCCCUCUGUGGCCNUGCACUCUCACAGUGGCUUCUCACAGUGAGAAGCAUUUCCACUGGCAACCCCCCCCCUCUUUCACUGAUUGGUCUCGGUUUCUUUGUCACAGAUCAUUCAUGCGUUCUUAAUUGGCAAAGUAGUCGCGCCGACCGUGCUUGUACAAAGAUAAUACCAUCUUUUUACCCUCUCUUUUGUUAUAUGUUAGAAAUGUGAUAUGUCUUAAGUUUAAUAAUUUUUUACAUGUUAAUAUAUUACUUUAGAACUCUAUAUCUGGCGACAUUGUUCCUUUCUAUAUCCAUUGGGACGGAAAUUUUGUCGAGAACAAUAAUGUACCACGAUAUAUUGGUGGCCGUAAAGAAUUGGUUGCGGUCCGACGCAAUAUCUCAUUUCGGGAUUUAGAGAUGGAAAUAUACAAUGUUACUAAUUAUGAUCGAGUGGAAGACCGUCUACGCAUCACGGUGAAAUGUCCAAUGGGAGGCGAAUGGGAAUUUGUUAACGUAUCAAAUGACAAUACACUAUCUGGCGUGAUGAGUAUAUUUCCGUUCCAUGGAUGUAUAAAAUUAUACGUGGAGAAAGAUGGGUCGACGGCACACGACCGUCCAAAUACCGUUUAUCAAACGGAAAUGUGUCGUACCCGCAAUGAUCAAAGGAAUUACGUCAAUCGCGAACGAGGUCGUACAUCAAGGUAUAAAGUAAUGAUCUUUAUAAAUCUUUUUCGUGAUUUCUCAAUUAGUUUAGGUGCGCGAAAUUAAUAACUUUGUCUUGUAAGUGUUUCAGAGAGUUUGGAGUUCCAUCUCAGCCAGUUAGUGCAGCAUUGCCAUCUGCUGUGAUGGAUCCGUCUCCGUUGGUUGAUCAAAAUGAGUGGUAGGUGAUUGUAUGAUUUAGUUACGUAAAAAAUCAAUGUGAAUAGUUAAUCUUAUAUAUCUCUACAGGUCUACUGUCCCUCCUUAUCAAAGUCCACGACCAUCAUCUUAUGUUCACGAAUGGACGGAUUGGGAAGUCAGAACCACUAUCCCUCCUUAUCAAAAUGAAGGUCCAUCAUGUAGUGUUCAUCAAUGGCCGGCUUGGGAAGAAAGAAAUACUAGCCCUCCCUAUGUAGAUGAAGGUCCAGGAUCAUCUAGUGUUCAUGAAUGGCCGGCUUGGGAAGUAAGAAAUACUAACCCUCCUUAUGUAGAUGAAGGUCCAGGACCAUCUAGUAUUCAUCAAUGGUCGGCUUGGCCAGUAAGAAAUACUAUCCCUCCUUAUCAAAAUGAAGAUCCAUCAUGUACUCAUCGUGAAUGGACCAAUCGGGGAGUGACUACAACUGAUCUAUUGGACGUAAGUAGAAGUGAUGAGGAGUAUGUUAGUGAAACUGAUGAAGAGGAUCAAGGGCGAAUUGAUGCUGAUUCUAGUGAUGACGAGGAGUCCUUUGUUGCGUGUUCUUUGGAUCCUGAUCAUGACGGUGGCUUGAAUGCCCUCGCAUGCGCCAUUCGAGAUGAAGGUGUUGAAUGGAUUGAAAACUCAAAUGCCAACAACGAAGAUGUACCGGACCCGGUGGAAUUCGUGGAAUUUGAAGAUCAACGACAACGGUUUGUCCUGGGUAAUGAAUUAAUUAAUCAAAGCGUUGUUGAUGCAUAUAGUGAACAAAAUAUUGAUCAGGGUCCUCCAAGUGAUGAAGCAUGGGCUAAUCGGACUUUUUCUGAUAAAUCAUCGCUAGUAAGGGCCUUGGACGCUUGGCACAUUGCACAUAAUGUGCAGCUUAAAGUUGUUAAGUCAAAUACAACUAGAUAUACUGUGCGAUGUGUGGUCGAUUCUUGCCCUUGGAGAUUACAUGCCUCUCAACCGAAAGGUAGUUCAUUUUUUAAAGUAAAGACUUAUAAAGGUCCGCACACUUGUUUGGUUCCAAUUCUAAAUACAAGACAUCGAAACUGCACAUCAUCUUUCAUAUGUCAAUUUAUACUACCUACACUGAAGGCAAGGCUUACAAUGAGUCCGAUGGAAAUUCAAGCUCGAGUUCAGAGCGAGUUACACGUUAGCAUAUCAUAUAGCAAGGCUUGGCGGGCACAGAAUAAAGCACUACAAAUUAUAUACGGUAGUUGGGAGCAAUCAUACUGCGACCUUCCUCGAUACUUCUCUAUGUUGGAAUCAACAAAUCCAGGAACUAUUACAAAGAUUGAGUAUAUUAGUGUGGCGAGCAAUACGAGAAUGUUUUCACGAGCCUUUUGGGCUUUUGGACCGUCGAUUCAUGGUUGGGAGUAUUGCCGGCCAUUACUUAGUAUCGAUGCUACUCAUCUGUAUGGGAAAUACGGAGGCCACGCAUUAAUUGCCACAGGUGUCGAUGCGAAUGGUGGUUUAUUUCCGCUAGCUUUCGCAAUUUGUGAGGGGGAGAAUGGCUCGAGUUGGGAGUGGUUUUUAAGUUGCCUAAGAAGGUAUAUAACAAGAUCUCGAGUUAUUACACUAAUUUCAGAUCGUUUUAAAGGCCUAGCGAACCUCGUUGCACUUGUAUUCCCACCAUCUGAAGGUCAUGCGCAUCGAUGGUGUUUACGACAUAUGAAGGCCAAUAUGAAUAUUCAUUUCAAAGAAAAACACUUACUUAAAAUUUUUUAUCGAAUUGGGAGUGCUUCAGAAGAACGGCAAUAUUACGCAUUAAAGGAAGAAUUGAAGGCUAUGGAUGAAGAAGCUUGGCGUUGGGUUCACAAUCUUCAUAACGAUAGGACAUACUGGGCUAAAGCUUUUGAUGGUGGUCGAUGAUUUGGUAUUAUGACAACUAACCGAUCGGAAAGUUUAAAUGGGGUGUUGAGGAGAGUUCGCGCCUUACCAAUUACAACUUUUGUGAUGGCAACAUUUCAUCAAGUGGUAGAAUUCUUUCUAAAACAUCGAGGGGAGGGCGCUGCAAUGUCUACGCAAUUUGUAUCGAAUGUUGAAAACACCAUCAAUAGCCGGAUGAGAAGUGCUAGAGCAUAUACAGUUCGACGAUUUGCAUUUCACAUGUUCGACAUACUUACUGGGGGUGAUGAUCAAUACCAAGUGAUUAUCAAUGGAAGCAGUUCUACAUGUUCAUGUUUGUGUUUGCAACUCACAGGAAUCCCUUGUUCACACAUUUUGUCAUGUUGUAGUUCAUCACACAUGAACAUAGAUUAUUAUGGCUUAUGUUCUCCUUGGUAUACUGUCGCAUCAUAUUGUAAGACUUAUGAACCGCAGUUCAACCCCGUACCCGAUCGCCGUUAUUGGAUCGUGUCAUAUGAUUCCCCUAUAGUGCCACCACACGGGAGAAGAAAAAAGGGACGACCCAGAUUUACGCGUAUCCGUAAUGUUAUGGAUGAAGCCAGUGGGAAUAGGAAGGGCAAGUGUAGUAUGUGUAAACAGUCUGGACAUUAUAAAAGCACUUGUCCUGAAAAUCAGCAAAGAAGAACCGAGAGGCGUCGUCGAUAGGUUUUUCUAUAUGAAUAUGACACUUAACUUCUUUAAUCUUUUAUACUUAUGCACUAAUGUUACAUCAUGUUGUUUCUAACUCAGUUUUUUUUUUAAGCGAAUUUCAGAUGGACGAUCAUGACGAACCGGGACCUAUUGAUACAUCCGUGCUGACUGAGCAGCCACGACAUAGAUCUACAUUGAUCAGAGAGGAGGUGAAUUUUUUUAAAACAUUUCAAAUUUAUCUAGAUCUUCUUUAACUUAUGUACUAAUUUUGAGCUGGCUUUGACAAUCAUGCAGAGAUAUUCUCCUGUUCAAUUUACGGAGCAUGGCCGUAAAUUGAACAGAUGGCAGUGCGAGCAUCCUGCGGUGUUGGAAUUAUUGCGACGAGCAGGAUUUUAUUACGUUUCACGAUUGCGUCGCCUACAGCUCGAUCAGUCGUUAUUGGGAGCAUUAGUCGAGAGGUGGCCGCGAGAAACACAGAGUUUCCAUUUGCGACAUGAAGAGAUGAGUAUUACAUUGAUGGACGUCGCAGUUAUUACGGGACUCCCCGUCGAUGGUAGGGCUGUGACUGGAGGGGGAUCCUAUCAGUGGGCAGAGCUCUGCGGGUUACUUCUCGGGGUGGUUUCGCAGGAUAUUAAGGGUGGUGAGAUCAAGAUAGACUGGUUAUAUCAGCAGUUCCAUGAUAUCCCCUUAGACGCACCUCCUGCUAUUGUUAGAGCUACGGCGAGAGCAUAUAUACUAUUUCAGAUAGGUUGUAGUCUGUUUCGAAAUUCAAGCGGGAAUAGGGUGCAUUUGAAAUGGUUGCCACAUCUAGAGGAUUUUGACCUUUGUGGUGGGUUGGCAUGGGGUGCAGCCGCGCUAGCUCAUCUUUAUCACGCCCUAGAAAAUGCUUGCCUCAGGGGAAAGGUCGAGUAUUGUUGUUUUGGGACAUUAGUUCAGGUACAAUUUGCGACACGGACCCUUACUAUACUUCUACUUAAGUCAUGGUUAUUCUUUCCAUUUCUAACAAGAAUGUUAUUUUUAUAUAGAUAUGGGCAUUGGAUCACCUGCACAUAGGCCGCCCUGAGGUAGUAGGACCACAGCCUACGCUUGUCGACAUGCCUCUGGGGUGUCGGUAAGUAAUUUUUCAUUUUAAGUUUUGUAUAUAUUAUUUAUUCAUAACUAAUAUGAUAUAAAUGAAUCAGGUGGAAUACCAGGCUGGUUUUUCGGGAUAAUGUCAGGACUACUGACAUUGAGUUUUAUCGUGAUCAGCUGGAUCAGCAGUUAGAGUCUCAGGUAAAUAAAAGUUACUCAAUCUGUCGAAUUUUGUAUCCAAUUUUAAGUUUUUGGGAUUGAAAUUUUGUUUUAGUUUGAAAAUUUUUUUCACCAUAAAAAGAAAUUAGUUGUUCGUAUGAAAAAAAAUUAGUUGUUAAUUAAAAUAAAACUACAAUAGUUACAUAUAUCAUGACUUAAGCUUGUAUCAAGGUUGUAUCAAGGCUUAGCUACAAUAGUUACAUAUAUCAGCAUUUGGGUUCACAAGCGUGGAGAACUAACUCUGAUUAUUAAUCAAAUGAUACCCCUCAUGACUUAAGCUUUAGUCAUAUAUCAAGCAGCGUAAGUAGUUCAUUUACAAUGUAGCGCCGAAAAACGAGAUCAAUAUAGUUUAAUUUUUCUUCGAAACACGAGUCGCAAUAUAGUUUAAUUUUGAUAACUAAUCAUAUUUAUUUUUCACAAAUAGAUUACAUGGAGGCCUUAUGACGACACUGUUUUAGAGACGCUCCCAUCUUUUUGUCUGGCCGGGUUCCACGUUUAGCAAUCGAGGACUAUCUUAGUCUGCUUCCACAUUAUUGAGCUCCAUCAUCCCGAUCGUGUGCUGCGACAGUUUGGGCUAUUACAGCAUAUACCUGAUGCAGUACUUGUCAUACCUCGCAUCAAUUCACAAGGUAGAGCAGAUGAGGAUUGGGCGGCAUACGACACUUCAUACAUUCAGCGUUGGAAUGGUAGUUUGAUAGAUAUAGUAGAGGUGGCCCCAGAGAUAGAUCCAGAUCCGAUACGAGCUACCGCUGUUUAUAUGCAGUAGUAUUGGACGAUAACUAGGAGGUGGAUCUCUACACCUGUACAGCGGCCACCACUCGCGUAUCGGCCACGUGGGCACGUCGAGAGAGUAUUGGUAUGAUUGUAAUAUAUAAUAUCUUUUUAUAUUAAUUUUUAUAUAUACAAGAAAAUUUCGUAUAAUCUUUUUUUAUUGUGCUUUUAUUUCAGGUCGAUAUCGUGCAGAGAUCAUAUUAUACGAUCAGACAUGUCCUGCCCGAUAUUUCAGGAGGUGGAGUCUUAACUACCCUAUCACAGGUCGCCGAUCAGAUGGAAGCAGUUUUGGAGACUUUACCUACGCUUCCACACUAUGUACCUCCAGGACCAGCAGACUAUGGUAGAGCAUCGACGUCGUCCGGCCAUGCACCCGUAUAUAGUCCACCGAGGCCAUCAUCACCUAUAGAGGAGCCACCAGCACCAGUACCGCAGGAUCCAGCUCGAGCAGGUGAUAUUGUUUAUUUUAGGCGUCGACGGCGAUCGAGGUCUAUCCGUACAGAUCAGCCCUCCUUUUCAGCUCCUCCACGGCCAGAUCAGCCCUCAUUUUCAGCUCCUCCACGGCCGGUUAUUGAGGGUGCUGCUAUAGAGCAUCUAGACAAGUUGGAGAUCUUGGAGCCUUUUGAUGAGCAUGAUGUUGGUCGUGGUCGCGGACGUGGUAGGCGACGUGGUCGAGGAGGUCGAGGGAGGAGAACAUGAUAUUAUAUUUAUAUAUUAUUGUAUAACUUGCAUUUAUUUUGUAUAUUCUGUUUUGAUUAUUUGGUAUUGAUUAUAUUAUUGAGAUUCUAUUGAUUGUGAUGUUGUAAUGUGUAUUAAUUUUGUGAUGUUGUGAUGUGUAUUACUUUUGUGAUGUUGUGAUGUGUUGUGAUGUGUAUUGAUAAGUAUAUUUAUUAUAUUCUUGUAUUGAAUCUUGUAUUGAUUUUUGUGCGGCAAAAUUUUUGCCGGGGCGGGUAGUUGUAUUGGACACGGUGAAUGGAUCACCGUGUCAAAUGCAUUUGUAUUGGACACGGUGAUCCAUUCACCGUGUCCAAUGCAUUUGUAUUGGACACGGUGAUCCAUUCACCGUGUCCUAUACAACCCUAUACCCUGAAAAUGGCUAAGUCUUGUAAAUCCUAAACCUUCGAAAAUGGCUAAGUCUAAGCCGUAUUUGGCCAAAUAUGGAAGUAAAGGACACGGUGAUUAGUUCACCGUGUCUAAACGCGGUGAACAGUUCACCAUGUUUAGACACGGUGAACCAUUCACCGUGUCUAAUGUAUUGUCGCAACCCUACCGCGGGUGGGAGUAAUACAAUGAACACGGUGAUUGGUUCACCGUGUCUAAACACGGUGAACGAAUCGCCGUGUUCAAUUUAACCACCUGGCCCCCGCCCUGCCCGCGUGGCGCUGACGUGGCGCUGGCGUGGCAGGGCCAGGGCUAUUUUUGCAAAUAAUUUUUGGACGGGGCUAUUUUCGCAAAUAAAAUUUGUCAGGGGGCUAUUUGCAAAAAAGGCCCAAAGAUUUACUAUUUUUCAAUCCAAAAAAAGAGAAAAUAAGAUUUACUAUUUAUCUUAAAAAUUGGACGAAUUUGAGUGGUCGUUCUCGUCGCAGUAACUUGCAACUUUGAAAGAUCUCAAUAUAAAAUUAUUUAUGAAAUCGUAGCAUUAUAUAUACUAUUUUAGAGUAUAAUACUUAGUGUUGAUAACAAAAUAAUACAGUUUUUUUAUUCGGUAGUAUUAUACUUUCUCCAUCUGCCGCCUUUUAAAAGUUCUUGGAGUCAUGUCGGCUCCCUCCUUACCUCUCAGCGACCUUUUGCCCUCGUCUUAGGUGAUAAAGAAGACGAAAUUCAGGACACCGUCGAAGAGGUUGAUGUGCCAUGAAUCGAAGGGCGCCGCCACCUCUUCCAGCACAGCAGUCGCAGUGACAGCGGUGGCGGAAAAGAAAGAUGAGAGGGCAAUGGCAAGACCAUGGGCUUGGCGGGACAUCCAAAGUGGAGCUCAGCACCAUAGCGGUGAGAUUGCUCACGCUUGAGCUACUCCUACGCCGCAACUUCAUUGUUAUAGUGGACUUUCUUGCGAUUCUUAUAUUUGUAGACAUUCUACCUCUUAUGAGGUAGGAUGUUGAGCCCCUAUCCUUCCAUCUCUCCGAUCUCAUCUUUUACAGACAUAAGGUAAAGGGCAACUGAUAAAAAAAAAAAAAAAACAAUAGAAGGUAAAGAGCAAUUUUUUGAAAAAAUAAAAGUAAAUACAAUUCUUAAGAAAAUAGAGAAAUGGCCCAUAUAAGACGAAAAGGCAAUUUGAUUUUAUAAGACGAAGAGGUAAUUAGAAAAAUCAAAAUAAAUGUAGCUUUUAAAAGAAUGAGAAAAAAAGAAAGUAAAUACAAUAGAAAACAAAGAACAAUUUUUUUAAAAAAAGAGUAAAUACAAUUCUUAAUAAAAAAAAAGGAAACGAUUCAUAUAAGAAGAAGCGGCAAUAAGAAAAAUCAAAAUAAAUGUAACUCUUAAAAGAAUGACAAAAACAUCUCAAAGAAGAUGAAGAGAGGGAGAGUAAAUGGGGCUAUGUAGAAAAGAAAGAAAAACAUCUUAAAGAAGAUGAAAAGAGAGUAGAUGGGCCUAUGUAAAAGAAAAAAAGAGAAAAAAUUUUAAAAAAAUAUGGUUACGCUACGGCAGCUAUAUAUAUUUAGAGAUUAAUAGAUAGGUAUAAAUAGAUAUUAAAUUUAAUUUUUUUAUAAUUGAAUUUUAGUUUGCAUAAGUGGCAUUUGGUUCGCGUAAAAUGAAUCGAAAAAUUAUUUUCGGUAUAAAAAAUAAUUUUUUAUUUAUUCGGUUUGAUGUAAAAAUAAAAUUUGUUAAAAUAUUUUUAUGGAUUUAGGAGAAAAUUGAAGUUCUCGUUUUCCGUUGUUUUUCGAUGGAAAACGAAAACUUAAGGUGCGUAAAAAAUUUUUCAUUUUUUUUUUUCACCAGACCAAAUAAAUGUGAUUUUUUUCCAACUAAAUAAAUAUUGAUAAAAAAACUAUUUUUUUUCUAUAAACCAAACACUAUAAAACAUAACAUUUUUCUUCCACCGAAAUUAUUUUUUACAAAAAAUUAUUUUUCAUAUUUUUACGUUGAACGGCCAAACGGACCCUUAACAAUUAUAUAACUUAAGUUAUCCCCGCUAUUCCACCAAACGGGAUCAUUUUUUACCGGAAUAUUUUAUUCCGGUCAAAGCUUGCUAUUCCCGGUUAUCUCGGAAUAGCAAGCUUUUUACUAUUCCACUAUUUUGGUGGAAUAGUGCUAUUCCUAUUCUUAAUUUCAAACUUAAUUAAAAUUAUAAAAUAAAUUAAAACUAAAUUAUAUAAAUAUAAUAUAUUAUAUAUUAUAAUACAUUAUUUUAUUAUAAAAUUAUUAAUUGUGCUAUAUUAAUACAUAUUAUUUAUAUUUAAAUAUUAUAAUAAAUUUUAUAAUAAAUUAUAUUUAAAUAUUAAAAUAAAUUAAAAUUUAAAAUUUAAAUAAAUUUAAAAUUUAAAAUAUUAUAAUAAAUUAUAUUUAAAAUUUAAAAUUUGUAAUCUCAAAAUUAAAGUUUAUAAUUUUAAAUUCCACAUUUUAAAUUUUAAAUUUAAAUUUUGAAAUUUUAAAUUUUUGAAAUUUUAAAUUUGAAUUUAUUUUUUUUUCAAAUUUAAAUUUGAUCUUAAAUUUAAAGUUAGAAAUUUAAAAUUUAAAUUUUGAAUUUAAAAUUUGAGAUUUUAAAUUUUAAAUUUUAAUUUCAAAAUUUGAAAUUUAAAAGUUAAAAUUUUAAAUUUUAAAAUAUAAAUAUAAAAUAUAAAAAUUUAAAUUCUAAUAUAAAUAAAAAAGUGAUAAUAUUAUUAAUUUUUAUUUAUAACUACCCACUUUAAAUCUUAUUCCAUCUUACCUCACCAAACGUUAUUUUUUUAUUCCCAGGAAUAACUCAAUUUUUAUCUAAACGCAAAAUUGAUCUAAUCCCCGCUUAUACCUCAAUUUAUACAUGUCUCUGGAAUACCCACUUUUUGCUUAUCCCCGAACCAAACGAUAACUAGAAGUAUAACAAAAUGAGAACAAAAAAUAUAUAUAAAAAACUGCUAGAUGUGCACUCUGUAGAGAUGAACACUUUACACCCUUGUAUUCAAUGAAUUAAAAGAUUCAUAAAAAAAGUUAAUAUAAUAGAUAAAUUACAGUCAUUGAAAGUCUAAUUCAUAUAUAAAUUUUGCACUUAUAUUUUAGAUGUACAAAUAAUAUUGUUCAAAAUAUAAUAAGAUUAUUGGGUUCAACCAAACCAACACCAGCCCAACGUAGGCUCGGAUCGGGUCUAUUAUAGCCUACACACAUAAAUAAAUAAAAGCAAAAAAAAAAAAAAGUAACAACAUUCAAAACUUAUCUCAACUAUAAAUUAUUUUGAAUUGAUUAUUAAAUCAUUCAAAAUUUUAGUUUUAUUAUCCAACAUCGCAGUUUAUUUGUUUUCAGCUAGUCAACGAAACUUUGAUUUUAAAAUUUAAGCUAAUUAUUUACUUUAAUAAAUUUAUACUUACGAAAAUUCUAUAAAGUAUAUUAACUAAAUUCUUAAAAAUAAGCAACGCAUAUAAAUUCUAAAACCGAAUUAUUAUUCAUCGAUUUAAAUCAAACAAAUUGAAAAUUUAAAUAAUAAAAUUAAAAUUUUUAAAAAAUUAUAUAGUCAAAUCAAAAUAAUUCAUAAUUUUUAUAUAUUCUAAACGUAUUUAUAAAGAUUAUACUCAUAUUUCGCUCUUUCUCUUCGAGAAAGUUUUCUAUAUUACACUUGCAUCACGUUAUUAGUAACAAACAAAUCAUAUCUCUUUUCUCGAAAAAAAAAAAUAUAAUAAAAAUAUUUUUUUUUAUUAAUAAUGACAGAUGAUUUUUUAAAAAAUAUUAAAAAUAUUAUAUUCAUGAUAUAACUAGUGCAUUUUAGAUUUUUUUCUCUAUCUCUGCUGCUGCGGGAUCUUUUCAGGAUGCCCCCAUCACAUCCCUCGGAUCCGAUCUGGCAUUCCCAGAUCUUGCUGGAUCUAAUAUAUAGUUUAAUCCCUUGCAGUCACAUCGAAGGAUCUUUUUUGCAUACAUGCUGUGUAACUCCAUAUAAAUUGUAAGUUACCGUUUGCUUCGGAUUAAGAAAAAACUAAUUAUUUCAGACUAUAAUUAAGUUCAAGGUUAAAAUAAAGUUAAAAUAUAUUUAUAUUUAGUUGGGGGUUGGAGUUAGUUCAGAAUAGUAAAAAAUAGUGUUUGGUUUGAGUAUAUGGGAUAAAAAAAAUAGUAGAUUAUUAUGAAUAAAAAAUAGUAUUUGAUUGUGGUUAGGUGGGAUUAGCUAAUUCGGAAUAGCUCAUUUGAGGUGGGAUUAGCUAACCCCACCCAUUUUUUGGGGUGUUUAGAAAUAAUAUGGAGAUUAAGGGGUUAUUCCACCCCUUAAUCCCCAGCCAAACAAAGGCUAAAGAGAUGCAUCAGGGCUGUUUUCCUUACCGAAGCUUGGUGGUUGAUACCGAAAGUUUCAAGUUAUCCUAGUAGAUUUAUAUUUCCAGCUAAAUUUAUUUCUAAAUGAAAUAAACGAAGCGAGUAGCGUGCUACCUAUCUCUCUCAAAAAAAAAGAAGAAGUCUGUUUUCCUUGUUUAAGGAUUCUUGUUAAAUUAGAGAGACGGUUUAAUUACAUAUAAUUAUAAGAAAAAACUUCAAAUACUAUUUCUAUGGUUUUAUUUUUUUUAUUUUAGUACCCUAUUAUUUAAAGUGCAUUAAUUUAAUAUCUUAUGGUUUCGCACAUUCUCACUUUAGUACCAUGUGAUUUAAAGUGCAUCAAUUUAAUACUAUGUGAUUUUAUUCUUUUCUUUUCAUCGGCUCCUCUGUGAAUAUUUCGUUAAAUUAUAUACAAAAAAACUUCAGAUACCCUACCUUGGUUUAUCGAAUAUUUACUUUAAUACCAUUUAGUUUUAAUUUUAUCGUUGCUUUUUUUUUUUCCUCCGUUAAUAUUUCGUUAACUUAUAUACAAAAAACUUUAGAUAUCUUAUCUAGAUUUAUCGAAUAUUCACUUUAGUACCCUUUAGUUUUAACUUUGUCACUGAUUUAACAAAAAAAAUAUGUAAAAUGAAUAAUAAAAAGAGAAAAAUAAAACCAUAGGAUACUAACUUGAUACAUUUUAACCACAGAAUACUAAAGUGAGAAAGUGCGAAACCACAUGAGCUAACUUGAUAUAUUUUAAACCACAAGGUACUAAAGUGAUAAAGUGUGAAACCACGGGGGAUACUUGAAGUUUACCCUAAUUAUAAAUACAAUAUAAAUAUAAUUAUAGAUACAUAUAAUUAAAAAUAUGUAAUUAUAAUUAUAUGUAUUUUAGCUGCGUGCGGUUUAAAGCAUUAUAUUUAUUUAUACACAAUUUGUUUAGCUACGUACGAUUGUGAAGUCCAUUUAUAAACGGCCAAUUUGCAUAAAAAAAUUUCAUUAAUUUUGAGCUUUUGUAAAAUAAUCUGUCUUUUUAAAUUUUGCAGAUUCGAACCGAAUUUUCAGAAAACUAACUAAAAUAUCAUUAUUUUCUUUUCUCUCUCGUGGAAGCAGAAGGGGAGGCUGAGGUGGCUCGCCCCGCCUUUGUUCCGCGCUCCCUCACCCUCGCCCUCGCCAGCCUGAUGGAAAAGGUGAUUGACAUCGAGGUCAGCCACCGAGUGGGCCGCCUCCGCCUCCGCUUCCGCUUCCACCGCCCUCUUUGGAGAGAGAAAAAGAAGGAGAGAGAAAAAAAAAAAGGAGAGAAAAGAGAAUUAGGUAUUUUGAUCAGUUUUCUGAAAAUUUGGUUCGAAUCUGCAAAAUCCAAAAAGGCGGCCUACUUUUACAAAAAUUGAAAAUUAAUAGAUUUUUUAUGCAAAUUGGCCUUUGUAAAAUUAAUUAUUCUAUAUAUGGAAGGUAAGAUUAGUCCAUACACAGGAAAAAAAAAAGUUAAAAAUUACUUUUAUUUUAAUUUUUGUUAUUGUUUGCCUAAAAAUAUUUUAAAAUAAUAAUAAAAAAUAUAGUGUAAGUGCUCUUGUCUAAUAAUAAUAUAAAAUGUUUAGAAAAUAUUACUUAGGAUUAAAUUGGUCUCCUCAGCAUAUAUUUCGACUUCACAAAUUGUUGAUCUUUGCUGGUGUUUAUUCAAAAAAAAAAAAAGAAGAAAAUUUUCAAUCUAAGCACAACAAUACGUUUCCACCAAGAAAUAAAAAAAUAAAAAACUGAAGAUUAAAGACCGAUGAUAUCACCCAUUACGUACAUUAUAAUAAUUAUAAAAAUGAGAAUCAUUUUUAUUUAAAAUCUUUUUUUUUUUCUGCAUGUUAGUUGGAGAUUUUUCUUAUUCUGUAAAUUUCAAGUGUUAUAUAUCUCAUCUUUCAAGCUGAAUUAGCUAUUUUUUAAAACUUAAUAUAUAUAUAUACACGAUAUUACGAUGUGAGUAAUAAUAAAAAGAAGAUAAAAGAUGAAGACCAAUGAUAUAUGUCACACCUUACGUUGGCUUCAAAGACAAAGUCACAAAUGUUGAUAGAGCUCUCUCUAAAAUAAAUAAAAUAAUUAAAAAGAGACCUCUUCGAUCGCCCAAACUCACGUCCUCUCCAAAAAUCAAAAUUGGAACGCCAAGUCGCCUACACGCCCAAGCAGCAUUAAUAAUUCCAAGGAUUUUGAAAUUUGCUGAUCCUUUUCUGAUUUUUAGUAAAUAAUAAUAAUAAUAAUAAUAAUAAUAAAACUAGUCAAAAAUAAUAUAUAUAUAUAUAGAGAAAGAGAGAGAGAGCUAGAUUGGUGUACUAUCGGUAGCACGAAAGCCUCCGUGCUACCAAGUUAUUUUCGAUGAUGCGGCUUCCAAAUCGACGAUUGGCUCUGUUAGACUUGAUCUACACAAUUAAAAGUAUUUGGAAACUAAAUUUCAUAAGUUUUCGGUAUUAUUUACCUAUCAAACACGCAAGUAGUCUAAAAAUGAACGUCUGAAAAUAAAAAUCUCAUAAAAAAUGAUGGUAAAAAAUUUGAAUUUAAAAUCAGAGGUACUGAUCUUACUCUAAAUAGUGAAAAGAAUUUUCUAUAAAAAUUUCAUCAGAUUUGGAUUGUUUUACACCGUUAAAUUCACAAACUCAUCACAUCUACCAUUAAAAUUGUCAAUUUUUGAGAUAUUUUUGAUCACUAGCCAAAUGAUGUUGAAAAAUUAUGAAAUUUAGUUUCCAAAUACUUUCAAUAGUGUAGAUCAAGUCUAUCGGAGCUGAUCGUCGAUUUGAAAGCCGCAUUAUUGAAAACAACUUGGUAGCACGGGGGGCCUCCGUGCUACCGAUAGUAUACCGGCUUAGCUCUCUCUCUCU
RNAcentral lists this long non-coding RNA (61130 nucleotides) under Ananas comosus (pineapple). RNAcentral's name for it is "long non-coding RNA (ACOM_LNC022649)". The record is from RNAcentral. Lineage: Eukaryota; Viridiplantae; Streptophyta; Magnoliopsida; Poales; Bromeliaceae.